Molecule: long non-coding RNA, 63650 nt
Filed under: Solanum tuberosum (potato)
Lineage: Eukaryota; Viridiplantae; Streptophyta; Magnoliopsida; Solanales; Solanaceae
Description: long non-coding RNA (STUB_LNC004348)
Source: RNAcentral
AUGUGUUUCUCAAGAGUACAACACAAUGGAUCUUCUUAGGAAUAUCAUAAAAUCCAUCCAAGGUCGCACCAAGGAAACUCUAGAUUUGUUGGAAAGGAUGACAGAAGGAGAUCUAGAAAUUUAUCUUUGUGAUCUAUUAAAAGAACGCAAAUACCUUGUGGUGGUUGAUGAUGUAUGGCAGAAAGAAGCAUGGGAGAGUUUGAAAAGAGCAUUCCCAGAUAGCAAGAAUGGCAGCAGAGUCAUUAAUACCACGCGCAAAGAGGAUGUCGCUGAAAGAGCAGACGACAGAGGUUUUGUUCAUAAACUUUGUUUCCUAUGCCAAGAAGAAAGUUGGGACCUCUUUUGUAGGAAACUAGUUGAUGUUCGAGCAAUGAUUCCAGCAAUGGAAAGUCUAGCUAAGGAUAUGGUGGAAAAGUGUAGAGGCUUACCUCUUGCAAUUGUUGUAUUGAGCGGACUACUUUCGCAUAAAAAAGGGGCUAAACGAAUGGCAAAAGGUGAAAGACUGCCUUUGGAAGAACAUUAUUGAAGAUAAAUCUAUUGAAAUCUCCAGCAUACUAUCAUUAAGCUUCAACGAUUUGUCAGCUGCGCUCAAGCAGUGUUUUCUGUACAUUGGUAUUUUUCCAGAAGAUCAAGUGAUCGAUGCUGAAGACAUCAUACCCAGAGGAGAAGAAAGAAUGGAGGAUGUCGCUGAAGACUUCUUAAAUGUGCUGAUAAGACGAAGCUUGGUUCAAGUGGAAAAAAUAUUUUUGGAAAAAGUUACUAAGUGUAGGGUUCAUGAUUUACUCCGUGAUCUUGCCAUACAAAAGGCAUCCGACACAAACCUCUUUGACAUUUAUCAUCCAAGAAAGCACUCCAUAUCCUCUUCAUGUAUCAGACUUGCCAUUCAUAGUCAAGGAGAAAAGUAUCACUCACUUGAUCUUUCUAAUUUGAAGUUGAGGUCAAUUAUGUUCUUCGAUCCAGUUUUUCCUAAUGUGUUCCAACAUAUAUAUGUGUUGUACUUGCAUAUGGAUUAUGGUUGUGUUAUACCUGAAUCCAUAGGGAGUUUGUACCACCUCAAGUUGUUAAGCAUUAGAUCAGGUGUCUGUAAUAUUCCCUCCUCCAUUGGCAACCUCAAGAAUUUACAGACACUUGUCGUUGUAAAUGGGUACGCAUCAUUUUGCCAACUACCCCGCAAGAUAGCUGACCUAAUAAAUCUAAGACAUUUUGUUAUUCCAUAUUCAGAGCCUCUGAAAUGUAUAAACAAACUCAGGAGUCUUCAAGUUCUUAAAGGCAUUCGUUGUGAUCAGUGGAAAGAUGUUGACCCUGUUGAUUUAGUCAAUCUUCGAGAAUUAAGCAUGGAUCGUAUCAGGAGCUCUUACUCCCUAAACAACAUUAGCAGCUUGAAAAACCUUAGCACUCUCAGAUUGUCUUGUCAAGAUUAUGAUGAAUCAUUCCCAUCCCUUGAAUUUGUUAAUCGUUGUGAAAAGCUCCAGAAAUUGUGGUUAAAAGGGGAAUAGAGAAACUGCCUAAUCUGUUUCCAAAGUCCAUCACAAUGAUGGUUUUGAGGAACUCGGGACUGACAAAAGAUCCGAUGCCUAUUUUGGGAAUGUUGCCAAACCUAAGGAAUCUCAAACUAGAAGAUGCUUAUGAAGGAAAAGAAAUAAUGUACAGCGAUAACAGUUUUAGUCAACUCAAGUUCCUUAAUCUUGAUCAUCUUCAAAACCUAGAAAGAUGGGAUUUAGGCACAAGUGCAAUGCCACUCAUUAAAGCUCUUCAUAUCUAUGAAUGUCCAAACCUGAAGGAGAUACCAGAGAGAAUGAAAGACUUGAAGAAGCUUGAAGAGACCAAGUUUUUUUGUACAAAUAGUGUGUUAAUAUUUGGGUUAAACAGGAGAAGAAGUUCGCAUGAAUCAAGUUGGAUUAUUUCAACAUUCAUUUUUUUUUGUUUGAAUAAAAUCAAUAUUAUUUUAUAAAGCAUAUAAUAAAUUAUUAUCAUAGCAAUUAACUAUCAUGUUUAGUUUUUCGGAACACUUUUAAUAUUUGAUUAUAAAAUAGUUCCAGCUAUAAUGCUUAGGAUCGAAGAGAGUUGAUCAGCAUUCGGCAUUUUUUUAUGCUAUUUUAUAAAGCACAUGUGAUUAUACCGUUUAAGCUAUUUUUUGCACCUAUUAAAUAAAUUUGGAGAUUAUCAUUCAAAUGGAGUUAGCAAAUUAAACAAAACAAUCUAGACUUAAUAAGAAUGUACCUGAAAAUUAGAAGACACACUUUUGUACUAGCUUAACGACAGAAGCAUAUAUUGAAUGACUAAUAUUAGGUACAGUGAAACCUCACUAAAUUUAUACUCAAUAAAUUAAUAAUCUCUCUAAGAUAAUAUUUUCUUUCAGUCUCGGCUUGGGCCAAUAGAAAAAAUCACUCAUUUCGAUAAGUUAAUAUGAUAAAAUAUUUUCAACAGACCCCUAUAUAAAUAUAUGGUCCCAUCAAUAUUAUAAAUUAAUAAUUCCUUAAAAGUACAAAUAUAUCUAAGACGAUUUAGUGAAAUGUGAUUCUAUUGUGUUUUUUUUUUGUUAAAAUUUAAAGGGAAAAUGCAUAAGUACCCCCCUCCCCCAGCCUAUGCCCAAAAUCCCUAAGACACACCGGCCGAAAAGGGGUAGAAAAUUAAUUAAAAAAUAAGUUUGGGGGGGUAAUAGGACCUUAGUAAAGGUUAGGUGUGUCUUAGGGAUUUUGGGCAUAGGCUGGGGGGUACUUAUGCAUUUUCCCAAAUUUAAAUCUAGUUGAAAGGCAUCUUUAACUUUUCUUAUUACAUCAAAAAGUUUUGGUGUUGUUUUUUCGAACGACACCAUAAAAUUGUGAAUAGUUCUAGAUGCGAUAAGUGUUUUCUUACGCGAAUCUGGCUGCAAAGGUAUUAUAUCAUCUUCAACUUCAUCAUCCACGUUGUUUUUUUUAUGGUAUCCACAAUUUCUUCUAACUAAUGGACUCUGAACAUGUAUCACUUUCAUCCAGGUAAUCCAAUAGGUUAAUGAUGUUAACUUUUUUGCGGUAACGGGGAUCAUUGAUCAUUGCCUCAAAUUCAUGAAUGACGUUUUCACAAAAUACUCUUUAAAUUAAUAAAUAUUAAUUUAUCGAUUAAAUAAACCUCUACAAAAUAAUAAUAUUUCAUUGGCCCACCUAUAUUAAUUUAGUGAGAUUUUAUUAUAUGUUUAUAUAGUGUAGUCUUGAAGAUUUGAUGGUAAAAACUCUUUCGUAUUCCUCAAUCACUUAAUUUGAUUCCUUUCAAGUUUCAACUAUUAAAGUAGGUUCUCAUUUACUCCCCUAUUAUGUUAAUUUAAAUAUUACUAUUUAAUUAGAUAUUUAAUUUAUGUUUAGAGUAAUUAUUUUAUUACAUUUUAAUUUAGUAUAGGAUCAAAAUGGUAAUCUAAUUUUACACGUGAUAGAUUUUCACUUUUGAUAAUAUAUGAUGAUGAUAACUAGUUUAGUAUAUUAUAUAUGUGUGUUGCAACAGUAAAAAAUAUAAUUCAAGGCCUUUUUUAAAAAUUAAAUAUAAUAAUUCAGAGUUGUAAGUAUGUAAUACUUUUGUGAAAUUUUUUUAAGGUUAAUUUUCAUGUAAUAAAAUACGCACCAUUAAGGACAUUGAGAGAAAACUUGAUAUAUGAAAUUAAAAAAUUUCAUCCUAAUUAAAUCUUUAAAAUGUCUAUUAUACCCUUUCAUUGUGGACUUUGUUUUUUACUUCUUUAAAAAUCAUGAUAUUUUCAUUUUGUUUUUUGAAUUCAUGUAACAAUUUUUUCAUACAAGAAUAACAUUAUCUCUUGGACAAAUAAAAUUAAGAAAUAUUAAUUAAGUAUAUAAGCUAAUAAUGUUCUAUGAUGAAGUAAAUUAGCAUAAUGUUUAAUUUCUUUUUGUUUUUUUGGCUUUUUUUAGUGUGUGGAAUUGAUUCGAAGAUAACUUUUUUUUUUUGGAUUCGAUGCAAAAAUGAUUUUGUGAUGACCUAAUUAAUUGUUCCAAUGUUUGUUAUCUUGUUUAUCCACAUUGAAGAUAACUAGUUUAGUGUAGAUGUAUUACAUGUGUGCAUCACAUUACAUAAAAUAUAUAGUUGUAAUUCGAAGAUUAAUAAGAAAAUAAUAAGGAAGACUUAAUUCUCUCCAUAUAUAUUUUCCCACGAGUUAAAGAAGCUUUAAUACAUAUUUCAAGAAUCAAGAAGCAGUGAGAUAUUACAAAAAAAAAUUGUACCUUUCACUUAGCUUGCAUCUUUGUCCUUUUUGAUAAUGGCUUGCCUUGUCUAGUCAUAAUAUUUUUCUCAGAAACCACAUGGUCAUGUUUCAAGCACCCCUAGACUACGAUCGAAAUUCCAGAGACACUUUAACUAAACUAAAGUCCUAUUAUCCCUGAACCCAUUUUUUUGGUAAUUUUGUACACCUUUUUGGUUUACGUGGCAUCCAAAUAUAUCCCACGUGCCUCAAUUGUCUGGUGUCAUGGAGUGUGCCACUUAAGCCAAAAAGUGUACAAAAUUACAAAAAGAAUGAGUUCUGGACUGGGUAGUAGGAUCUUAAUUUAAUUAAAAUAUAUCUCUAUAAUUUCAAUCGUAGCCUAGGGUACUUGUCUCUUAUCUCAAUUUUAAUCACAUAAAUGGACACACUAUAUACUCUCAUCACAUUUAUGUCUUACUACUUCUGAGUGUAUUCCAAUAUACACCCCCCACCCCCCUCUUAUUUUCAAUCAAAAGUAGUAUUCCUGAAGAUGGCUGAUGCCUUUCUGUCAUUUGUAGUUCAAAAAUUGGGUGAUCUUCUAAUACAGGAAGUUUCCAUGCUUACAAGUCUGAGAGAUGAAGUUAAAUGGCUGAAGAAUGAGCUACUCUUCAUGCAGUAUUUCCUCAAAGAUAGCAAAACAAAAGCAAUGUGGAGAUCAAAGAGUUCAACAAUGGGUGUUUGAGAUGAACUCUAUUGCUAAUGAUGUUGUUGCUAUACUCAAGACUUAUAACUUUGAGGUUGGUAAAAGUGAUGACAUUGGAUUUGCUAGUUGUCUCAAGAAAUAUAUUCUACAAUGUCGCCAAGAUGCCAAGGAGAUCCAAUCACUCAAGCAACGAAUCAUGGAUAUUUCUCGCAAACGAGAGACUUAUGGUAUUACAUGGUUAGAACAUUGAGGAGCUAACUCCUAUGUGGAUGGUCAGGGUGACAUUUUUGUUGGAUUUCAGGAUGCUGUAGAAAGAUUGUUGAAAAUUGUUUUUAGUUACUGCAGUAAACUUUAGUAUAAGAAGUUGCUAGGUUUAAGAUUUUUGAAUUUUAAAUUAUGAAAUUUUUUUGUUUAAGUUGGUUACUUCCAGUUGUUUUCUUUUCUCAAAUCUCUCCAAGUAAGGAUAAAGUCUGGAUACAUACUACCUUUUUCAGACCCCACUUAUAGGAUUACGUUGGGUAUGUUGUUGAAGUUUUCACUAGUUCAAAUUAAAUGUCAUUGUAAUAGGCUCAUAGCUUUUAUACCUUUAUAAAGGUUGCUCAUUUGAUCCCAAGAUCCAAAUAAGGCUACAAAGUCAAUGUCUUAGUACUUGGUCGAAUAAGUGUAUCUUAAGAUCAUCCAGUUAACAAUCAAAGACACUGACAAUCAGAAUAUCCUCUAUGCACAAUGCAGCUAUGUAAUAAAGCUCACAACUCGAUUAAGGCUGCAACAUGUAAUUUGUUUUGUUUAUUUUAUGACACGAGAUGAAAUCAUGCAUCUACAAGCAUAUUCAUACUGAAUUUCAUGACUACUUCAGAGUUCUUAGCAUAUCUUCUCACAAAGACGAAUGGUUAUAGCUGAGGCAGAAGGCCAUCAUAAUUUAGGUAUCCUAUGUUCAAAAUUCUACAAAACUUGAUGAAUGGCACACCGGUAAAUUGCAGUCAGACUGUCGAGACAUAAAAUUGGUCUCCAGCAGUCCAAGCCAUUACAUUUGCGGGAAGAAAUGGAUUUUUCAGAUCAGAACUAUUUCCGCUAUCCUACUAAGCCUGAAGUUUGAGCAGAAACUAACAUCAGCUGAUGAUCAUCUUGCUCAAGAAUUCAGCUUGCUUGGGAAAGUAUUCCAACAGUUCAUCUUUGGUCACCCAGACAAAAUCAUCACAUUUUCUAAUAUCAAAUUUGUUGGCUGCAAUAACUUGGGAUUUGAAGAAGAAGCGCUGCCACAAUAAAUAUAGAAUAUAUACAUAAGAAGCACAAACUUUGCAGAAGCUAUCAGGGAAUUUCUCUCCCUCACUCCCUGUGGGAUGACAGAAUUUCUUACUGUCCUUUUCUUCAAUACUUUCAAUAAUUAAAAUUUACAUACCUUGAUUGACGGGAUUUUCUUGUCUUCAGUGGGUUGCGUGACCAUAUGACCCAUAGGGGCAUUUCCAACAAAAUAUGUAUGUGAAAGAUCUCCAAUGAAAGAUUCUAGGGCAGACUCAGCACACUGCAAAUAGUUGCAACUUAUAUUUCAUUUUUCUAACCAUAAUUACUAAAUCACCAAAGAAAUGGACUGAAUAAAUGCUAUUUACCUUGCGCAAAUUCUCUUCAGACUCAUAAACUUUUUCAGGGAAAUGCCAGACAGGCUUUCCACUACCUUGUGUGGUACCAUGGACUAGAAGAUAGAGUCUCCUGUCUAGUGCUCGAUGUAAUGACCUUAUGCAUAUCAACAAAACUUCAUAAUCAGUAACAUGAAAUACUAACCAGCAGAAGGAAACAAAACCUUUGAAUGUCUGUUGACAUAUUAUUCAUGUUCAGGAAUAUGCAAAGGUUUUGUAUAGGGUUAGUACCUUUUAGCGAAUUUUGACCAAGUGAUAAGUUGAAGAACAGACGCAAGCUUUAUUUUGUGGGGUAGAGCGGGUGAAGAAGGCAUAUAAAGGGGGAGGGGGGGGGGGGAAGGCAACAGUAGGCUCUCCAUUCCUAAUAUUAAAUACUUGCACAAUGCGCAAUUAGACAAAUCUCAUGUAACUAACACAUCAAUUACUUCGAGACAAUAUUAAGGCAUUUCAACAUCAAAAAUUUAGUUAUGGUAAACAAUUAGAAGUCAAUAAUCAUCUAUUGUCAGGAAAUACGAGUCUGCUGAACUUAGGUAAAGCAACUCUUGAAAGAAAAAUAUAUUCUAGUGCAAUGUCCAUAUUCAAAUUCUUGUAUAAUGUUUGACAAAAGUUAGAAGUCCAAGCUUUGGUACCUUUGAUCAUUAGUCUUAUCUGCUUCUGAGAUUCGAGGAGCUGGUUUAUAAUCAAUUUGAUAAUCACCUUUUCCCCUGCAUGUAAAAUAUAGAUGUAACCGUGCCACUGGACCAUGUGACAUUUGACACUAGACAGAACAGUAUGUGAUAGCAUGUUCAAGAAGAACCAUGUACAUAAUUAAUGGCUAAUAAGGAAGAAUGCAUGAAAGAAAAGGCAAUAAUACUACACAAGCCAAGGAGUAAAAAUCAGUUGGGUCAUACUGCUAAAAGAGGGGACAGUGUUUACUCUCCAACAUGUGUACUGUUGCAUGAAGAGAUCUCAAUUUCUUAAACUGUGAUCUAUGAAAUUAGGCCAUUUUUACCAUCAUGUACUUUUUCUGAAAUGAAAGUAAAGUUUUUAAAUUGUAAAUGGUCUAAGAUAGUAAUGCUCACUGCUCAGCACCAAAGGGUAUUCUCCAAGUUACAGAAACCAAUUUCGCAAGACCAAGUUACUUCAGAAAGCUAGAUAGUCAAGAGUAAAAUAUUGGUAAAAUAAGGAAAACCUUGAAAUAUCUCCAUGAUUGUGUCAUUAGUUUUCGUGGGACAUAUUGAAUGUGUUUUAUUUAGUAUUUCGGACAGGUUCCAUGCCUGUUGCAAUGAGCUCUUUUUCCUCAACUGUUUUACCCACUUCUUUAUUCAGUUGUGAGUACAAAUCCUUCCUUUUAACUGUUAAUGGUAGUUUAAAAGAGAACUUGACCUAGAAAGAAUAUUUUCCCAGAUUUUCAAAUUCAGGAGUUCUGAAAACUAGCAAAAUACUUCUAGUGCUGGAUUCCAGAACUUAAAGUCUUAAACCAUCUAAGGAAAACAAAAAAGCACUAAACUACAAACGUAAACAAGGAGUUACUAAUAUUUAUUUUACAAAAUUUAUCACCCAUCCAAAUUUUGAACUUAUGGUUUAUUUCUUGGUUAUUUUCUUUAUCAUGGACGGCAUCAACCCAUGCUGCUCAUACCCUUUUGUAAUCACUGUAUGCAGAACAGAGAUGAUUCUUCCCUGAAGAAAAUUCACCAGUACUUACACCAAGAUCUCUCAUUUAGACAAACUCUAUUUCUAGAGUAAAGAAGAAUGCUCAGAAAAUCUUCAAAACUUUUCGACUUUUAAGCGCUCUUCAUGCUAUUAAACUCCUAAAGCAAUUUCACUGGUCUAUUAUGUUUUAACUUAUUUCAUGCAUCCUAUGCACACUCUUCAUACCAUUCAUCAGUUAACAUUUCAUAAAUGAAGAUACAUAAUUCACAAAAAGAGGUAUUAAAUGGCAAGGUGUAAUUCAAGCAAUGCAACAGAAAUGUACCUGGUAUCAGACUUCUUCAGAAAACUUUCUGGAUACUCUCACCGAUAUUGCUGCCUCCAACAAAACCUAUAAAAGAAAUUAAUAAUAAAAUUAUUGCAAUCAACUAAACACCGAUUACGUUAAACAAUCAUCUACAUUGUCAUUCGCCAACUCUUAUUCAUGAACCUUUGCUCUUUUAUCCUUCUCAUUUCUCCUUUUGCUGGCAUCUUAGUUACCAACACAUUCUAUAACCUCAUUAUUCUCAACUUCAUUACACAUUUAUCUCCUAGCAUUAGAAACCACUGCAAAAUUUUGGACAAAAGAAACUCUUUUCUUUCUUAGAUAUACUUCAUCAAACUUACAAAAUAGCGAAGAUUCAUAAAUUUGACCUGACUAAUUUGGGAUUGAGGCAUAAUUAUUGUUUUUUAGUACUAUUUUUCUCAAGCAAACAUAUCAAAGUACCCCUUAAUCCCUAAUUAACCAUCACAGUUUCUGGAAAGCGAAAAAAAUAAUUUUGAUCAUUCUAUUAUACGAACCAGCAUUUAUAUGAUUUAGGAACGAUAGUACACCCGUAUAAGCUAAUGAACUUAUUGCUCAUCAUUGUAAUUGGAUUACAAAAGGCUUGAUUACAUUUCGAUUUCGUGCAACAAUUGAACAGAAAAAGAAAAUCUUACGAAAAUUCUUGAAAAGCAUAUACAGUAGGAUUGAUUGUGGGAACCACUACCGGUAAUCUUUCGAAGAGCACUGAAGCGACAAUUUUAUCAUUGUUGGAUGAAGAAAACCAUCGUUUACCUAUCGCAGAUCGACCCGCAGAUGAACAGCACCUCUGCAUUUUCAUAAACCCUAGAAACCCAAAUUCCACAGUACUGACAGGGAAUUGAAAUUUCUCGGGUUGAAAUUUAUGGGCUUGGGAUUCAGAUUGGAAUUUAUGGGCUUGGGACUUGGGUUGAAGUAUGAAAUUUCAAUAAAGAUUAUUAAACUUAUCUAUUCUUUAAGUAUUGAUUUUUCAGCUUAUAAACACUUUUAGUUUGAUCAAUCGUUGUAUUAUUGUAUCUCUACCAUAUUUUAGUAUUGCUUGAUCCAAAGGCGGUGAAAUUUUCAUCUGUUGCGUGAAGUAUAUAUUAUUUUCAUAUUGCUUUUAUUGCAUAUUUUAUUGUAAAGCUUAAAUAAUUUUCAUUUCAUAUUCAUGUAUUGAUUCAGUUGAGUUGCUUUCGGUCCUUCAGUUCAUGUAUUGAUUCAUGUAUUAUUUGUUAAUUCAAUUGAGUUGUUUUCCGUCCUUCAGUUCAUGUAUUGAUUCAUGUAUUAUUUAGGGGAGAGCCAGAUGGUCAUAAAUACAAGCAAUAUGGUUCCGAAAGAGGUCAGAAACUUAUUUUUCGAUAUGAAUUUCAAGUAUGGAGAACCAAGGUUCAGCGGGAGAAUUCUAUCUCUUAGCCAUCAAUGAGAGUUAAGAUUCUUCCUUGGAAUGUAAAUCAAUGGGGGUUGAUGUCAUAGUUUUAGUUGAGACAAAACUCAAGAGAUCAAUCGAUAACAUAUUGCAGAGCAUAUGAAGCAACAAAUUGAUGGGGGGUAAUUCAGAAAAAAGCUCAAGGGAGCAGUGGGGCGUAUUAGUUCUAUGGAACAAAAGAGUUUGGAAUGGGGAUAAUGUGUUUUGUUAAGUAUAAGUAUCAAUACUAGUUGAUCCUAUUGAUGACAAAAUUGAUUUUCUUGUAAGAUCAGUUUGUGUCCAUCUAGUGUUGACACUUAGUGUCACGCCCCGAGCCUACAUCCUGGUGUGUUGGAUAUUAAUUGCCCUGAGUUUCUUACCAUAAAUAGGUUUUCCUUUUGGGAAAAGGUUUUAAUAUUUGGCUAAUCCUUUUCUUGUAGAAAAAGGUUUAGGACUCUAUAAAUAGAGGUUUGUUUCUUCUAACUUAAUCUGUAUGCACAAUAUAGUCCUAGAGUUUUGAGAGUUCCAGUUAUGGGGGAGAAUUUGUGAACCUCCUUGUAUUCCGAGUGAAUUGACUGAGGUUGUUUCUCUCUAUAUUUUGUACUUUCAUUUAUUUAGUGGAUUGUUCAUCUCCUUUGUGGAUGUAGGUCGAUUAAUCGAACCACGUUAAAUCUGUGUCUUUUGGUAUAUUUCUCGUUUGUCUUCUUACUCGUGGUCUUUUGAAGUUUGUUUUGCUAGUUUCCGCAUGACACCUAAUUAUUUUCGAUCCUAACACGAUGAUGCAACAAGUAAGGCAUAUUGCUUGUAUUUUGAGCAUUGGUCACUAAACCUCAAAUCGUUUUGUUUGUUUUCCAACUGGAGCUAGGUAGGAUCGAGAGGAUUCAUUUGUGGAAAAUUAUUAGUCUCGUCAAUGUUUCAGUUCUUUGAGAAAUCACCAAUUCCAAACAAAAUUUGUUUUCAGCAAAUCAAUUUUGAGAUCUUGACCUUCAAGCUCUAACAAAAUAUUUAUGGAACAACCUCCCAGGCUGAAUUCGAAUUGAUUUGUGCUGACUUAUCGAAUAUUUUAUUUCUUCUCUUCAAAGUUACAAAACGCAUCUUCAAAUUGAGAAGUUAUGUUCAUCAUAUUUUUUCCUAUAGAUUCCCUAAACAAGGAUAAUUAAAAAGAAAAAGAAAGGUAUUUAUUAUUUAAAGAUUAAAUUUGAACAUACUAAAUUUAAAAUUUCUCAUUUUACCUUUAAUAAUAUGAUUUUAUGACCACAUUGAUAUCAUGAAAAUUUAAAACCGUAUAUUUUAAAAAUCUUCUAGUCCUGAUGAAAUACCUAGUCAAACAUGUUUCGAUAAAAUAAAGCAAAUGGAAUAUAAUUAAUUAGCUAAAAGUGAUAUAGGUGGAGGAACAAUUAAACCAACUCUUUCGAAUAAUAAAAUUUAAUCUAAUAUGAUAUGUCUUUUUAAAUAAAGUAUAAAGUACGGAAAUAUCUUGAUAAUUGCCUAGGGGAUUUAUUGCCGAGGGCCUUUUUGAAACAGCAUUUACUUCCCCGAGUUAGUGGUACGAUUUAAAUACAUUUUGCCCUUUUCAGACCCCAAUUGUAGGGUUUCAUUGGGAAUGUUGUUGUUGUUUGCCCCGGGGACUUGUGCCUUGGGACAUAAUUUCUUGUCUUAACACACAACUUGUGCCAAUGAAGCAGUGGCGUAGCCACAUAUAGCUUAGGGUGUUUGAUCAGACAUCUUUCGUCCAAAAAUUACCAAGGGCCUUUCUGAAACAACAUUUACCUCCACGAGGUAGUGGUACGGUUUGCAUACAUUUUGCCCUUUUCAAAUCCCAAUUGUAGGGUUUCAUUGGGUAUGUGUUGUUUCCCCUGGGGACUUGUGUCUUGGGACAUAAUUUCUUGUCUUAACACAACUUGUGCCAAUGAAGCAAUGGCGUAGCCACAUAUAACUUAGGGUGUUUAAUCGGACAUCUUUCGUCCAAAUAUCGUACAUAUAUAUUAAAUCUUGAACGGCAACUUUUGGCUUGGCCAGUACACUGAGCAUAAUUUGUGUGAUGCAAUUUUAAAUUCUUGGCCUGCAGUUAGUAGAGAAUAUAUACUUUUCUUUACCAUUAACCUCAAACUCUAUCAUCUUUCUACUUUAACACUUUUUCCCCUAUCGGAUUUUUGAAGCUUUAAAUACUGAAUUCCAUCAUAACAAUAUUCAUCACUUAUCAAACUCUCAAUCUACUGCUUCAACUUUUUUCAAAAAAUAUUAACUUCCAUACACCUACCCCUUUUUUUCCAAUAAAAAAUAUGGCUGAUGCCUUUGUGUCAUUUGCAGUUCAAAAAUUGAGUGAUUUCCUAAUACAACAAGUUUCUCUGAGAACAAAUCAGAGAGAUGAAAUUAGAUGGCUGAGAACUGAGCUACUUAUCAUACAGGCAUUCCUCAAAGAUGCAGAACAAAAGAAAAGUGGAGAUCAUAGAAUUCAACAAUGGGUGUUUGAGAUCAACUCUAUUGCUAAUGACGCUGUUGCUAUACUCGACACUUACAGUUUCGAGGCUGGUAAACGUGCUAGUCGUCUCAAGGCUUGCGCUUGCAUAUGUAGGAAAGAGAAGAAAUUCUACAAUGUCGCCAAGGAGAUUCAAUCACUCAAGCAACGAAUCAUGGAUAUCUCUCGCAAACGAGAUACUUAUGGUAUUACAAAUAUCAAUAGUAAUGCUGGAGAAGGGUCAAGUAAUCAGGUUACAACAUUGAGGAGAACUACCUCAUAUAUAGAUGAUGAUGACAUUUUUGUUGGCUUUCAGGAUGUUGUACAAACAUUGCUAGCUGAACUUCUCAAAGUAGAGCCUCGUAGAAGCAUCGUCUCCAUUCAUGGAAUGGGCGGAUUAGGCAAGACCACUCUUGCAAGAAUCCUCUACAACAGUCCUAAUAUAGUCUCAAGCUUCCCUACACGUGCUUGGAUAUGUGUUUCUCAAGAGUACAACACAAUGGAUCUUCUUAAGACUAUCAUAAAAUCCAUCCAAGGUUGCACCAAGGAAACUCUAGAUUUGUUGGAAAAGAUGGCAGAAACAGAUCUAGAAAAUCACCUUCGUGAUCUAUUGAAAGGACGCAAAUACCUUGUGGUGGUUGAUGAUGUGUGGAAGAGAGAAGCAUGGAAGAGUUUGAAAAGAGUAUUCCCGGACAACAAGAAUGGCAGCAGAGUUAUUAUCACCACACGCCAAGGGGAUGUCGCUGAAAGAGCAGACGAUAAAGGUUUUGUCCAUAAACUUCGUUUCCUAAGCCAAGAAGAAAGUUGGGACCUCUUUUGUAGGAAACUACUUGAUGUUCGAGCUAUGGUUCCAGCAAUGGAAAGUCUAGCUAAGGAUAUGGUGGGAAAAUGUAGAGGCUUACCUCUUGCAAUUGUUGUAUUGAGUGGACUACUUUCGCAUAGAUGGGGGCUAGACAAAUGGCAAAACGUGAAAGACUGCCUUUGGAAGGACAUUGAAGAAGACUCUAUUGAAAUCUCCUACAUACUAUCAUUAAGCUUCAGCGAUUUGUCAGCUGCGCUCAAGCUGUGUUUUCUCUACUUUGGUAUUUUUCCAGAAGAUCAAGUGAUCAAAACUGACAACAUAAUGCGGUUGUGGAUGGCAGAGGGUUUCAUCAUACCAAGAGGAGAAGAAAGAAUAGAGGAUGUCGCUGAAGGUUUCUUGAAUGAGCUGAUAAGACGAAGCUUGGUUCAAGUAGUGGAUACAUUUUGGGAAAAAGUUACUGAAUGUAGGGUUCAUGAUUUACUUCGUGAUCUUGCCAUACAAAAGGCAUUGGAGGUAAACUUCUUUGACAUUUAUGAUCCAAGAAAGAACUUGAAAUCCACUUCAUGUAUAAGACAUGCCAUUCAUAGUGAAGGAGAAAGGUACCUCUCAUCACUUGAUCUUUCUAACUCGAAGUUGAGGUCAAUUAUGUUCUUUGAUCCACAUUUUCGUAAUCUGUUCCAACAUAUACAUGUGUUCCAACAUAUAUAUGUGUUGUACUUGGAUAUUAAUUAUGGUAAUGUUAUACCUGAUGCCAUAGGGAGUUUGUACCACCUCAAGUUGUUAAGCUUGAGAGGUGUCCGUAAUAUUCCCUCCUCCAUUGGCAACCUCAAGAAUUUACAGACACUUGUUGUUGUCAAUAUUGACUUACUUUGCCAACUACCCCCCGAAACAGCUGACCUAAUAAAUUUAAGACAUUUAGUUGUUCCAUAUUCUAAACCUCUGGCAGGUAUAAGCAAACUCACUAGUCUUCAAGUUCUUCACCUUGAUUGUGAUCAGUGGAAAGAUGUUAACCCAGUUGAUUUUGUCAAUCUUCGAGAAUUAGAGAUGGGUAAUAUUAGGAAAUCUUACUCCCUAAACAACAUUAGCAGCUUGAAAAACCUCAACACUCUCAGAUUGUGUAUUUUGUUUGGUCAACAAUAUACAUAUCCAUUCCCAUCCCUUGAAUUUGUUUAUAGUUGUGAAAAGCUCCAGAAAUUGUCGUUAGGUGGGAGAUUAGAGAAACUGCCUGUGUUUCCAGAUUCCAUCACAAUGAUAGUUAUUUGGCAGUCAAGACUGACAAAAGAUCCGAUGCCUAUUUUGGGAAUGUUGCCAAACCUAAGGAAUCUCCACUUGUCCAGAGCUUAUGAAGGAGAAGAAAUAAUGUGCAGUGAUUACAGCUUCAGUCAACUAGAGCUCCUUCAUCUUUAUGGUCUUGACAACUUAGAAAGAUGGCAUUUAGGCACAAAUGCCAUGCCUCUCAUUAAAGAUCUUUCUAUCUAUAAUUGUCAAAAGCUGAAGGAGAUUCCAGAGAGAAUGAAACACGUGAAGCAUUUCAAACAUAUACGAAGUCUUAUAUGAUUAUAGGAAAGGUAAAUAUACAAACACAUUCCAAUCCUUCAUUUUUUUCUUUUUUAUAUAAAUAAUAAUAUUUUUGUUAAACAGGAGAUGAAGACAUUCAAGUUGAUGAAGAUGGGUUGUCCAUGCAUCAAUCAAGUUUCCGUCACUUUACUGAUUUUGUGAUUCUAUGCAAAAAUAAGGAUUUUUUUGGUUUUUGGCUUCUUUUUUUUUUAGUGUGUGGAAUUGGUUGGAAGAAAUUUUUUUUUUUUUUGUGUGUGUGUGCGGCGGGGGGGGGGUGGGGGGGGGGGGGGGGGGGGGAUUGUAUGCAAAAAUGAUUUUGUGAUUAUUUAAUUAAUAUACAUCUAGUACAAUAAUAUACAAAACUUUUAUAUUUCUUUUUUACAAAAAUAUUGUAAAACUUGAUAUACAAUAUUUAUACACGAUAUUAUACGAAAUCAUAAGAGGUAUUUAUACACAUUUAUACAAUCAUAUAUAUAUAUAUAAAAGAGAACUCUAUGUCCGCCUACGUAGCGUCAUCACAAACCAGGAUUUCCUUUUAAUUUAUUUAUUUACAAAACUAGCAUUCCCCUUACAUGAAAAGAUGUGACUUUUAUGAAGAGUUGCAACUUUUAUGAAGAGUUGCGACUUUUAUGAAAACCUGUGACUUUUAUGAAAGGUUGUGUUCCUUCCGAAGGGUUGUAACUUUUCCAAAGAGAUGUGACCUUUCCGAUAAGCCACAAUAAAUAUUUGUUCACACUACCCUUUGUUGUCUAUAAAUAGAGGGAUAUCCUCUCAUUUUAAAACAACGAAAAUUUUGAACUUCUUCUUCUUCUGCACAAUUAAAUAUUAUUUUUGUAUCAAUACACUGGUGAAUAGAAUCGUUCUAUCCUGAGAGGAUCUAUUCCUUUAAACCUCGGGUACUAGAGGGGAAUAAUUUUCUUAAAGGAACACUAUGCAUUUAAUGGGCUCAAUUUUUUCCAGUAUGUUUCAUUCUAUUGUUACAGAUCCUGGUAUGUUUGUUUUAAACUUUGUUGUUUAUGUUACUGCAAAGUUAUUGUUAGUACAGAUUAAAUAACACACAUUAAUUGAGUAUUACUAAUCAUGCAAGUUUUCUCUACUGAAAUUGUAAUUUCAAAUUGAACUUCAUCACUCUGGUAUGUUGAUUUUUUAAAAACAACCAAAUAAACUGAAUAGUUUUAUGUAAUAUUUUCCCUUUCAAGUAUAUAUAAUAUAAGGAAAAAUUACAGAAAUCUUACCUUUUAGUUUACUUAUUACCAUUAUCUCCUAUAAGUUUUACAAAUCUCCAAAAUCCCUUAUUUUCGCGCAUCAGAUUAGUGUAUCUCGCGCAUCAGAUUAGUAUAUCAUGUAUAAAAUAAUAAUAAGGUGGAGACAAACAACUUAUUCUUAAAAAUUAAGCAAUGCAUAUUAUUUUGAAUAUUGACAAAUCAAAGAAGCAAUAAAAAUUUAUCUGACAUAACUAAUUCCAGCAUAACUUGUUUUCGAAUCAACUGACAACGUAUUUGGUAUGAAGAAAAAUGUUUUCCAAAGCAACAUGUUUUCCUCAAAUUUAAGAAAAAUGACUUACCUCCAGAAAAUUAGGAAAACAUUUUUCAGAACUCUUUUUCUACCUCACACCUAAACUUUUCACCCUAACUCAAGUCUCGAGUUAUUCUCAAUACAAAUUCGGGAUCUGACUCCUGAUUCUUGAUUCGGGACCAGACUCUCGACCUCAAUUCGAGACCCGACUCAGGAGAUGGAUCUAAGUCAAAUUCUAAUUUCGGUGUCGAGUCCCAGGUCAGGAUUUGAGGUCGAAUCUUGGAUUGGAUGUCGGGGUUUAUUCCCAAGUCAGGUGUCGGUGUAGGGUUCCAAAUUGAGUGUCAGAGUUAGGUUUUGAGUCAAGAGUCGAGAUCUAGUCCCAGGUCAGUUGGCGGAUUUGAGUCCCGGAUCAGUUGUCGAGGUAGGGUAUCGUGGUUGAAUUCCAAUUUGAAAGUCAAGUCCUUGAUAGGGAGUUGGGAUCAAAUCUCGAUUUGGAAGUUGGGUCAAGUGUCGGGGUCAGGUUUCACAUCGAGUGUUUACGUCAAAUGUUGGUUUGGAUCUCACGUUAGGUGUCGAGAUCGAGACCCGAAACAAUCAUCGAGUUAAAGAUCAGGGUCAAGGUCAAUGUCGAGUCCUAGGUUGGGAGUUGAGGUCAGGUCCUGGAUCAGUUAUUAGAGUUGAUUUUCAGAUUAGAAAUUAUUUUCCUAAAAUUUAUUUCCUUAUCUCUAGCCAAAAUAAAAGUUUUUUUUUUUGAAAAAUGUUUUUCAUUCACCAACCAAACACUCAAAAAAAAAAUUCACUCAUCAACUUAUUUUCUAAGAAAACAAUUUCCUCCAUACCAAACACACCCUUAAGUCUCAAUCCCAAAAAAUAUUGAGGGUUGACAAUCGGUUAUAUGAAUCAUCACUAUCAAUAUUGUUCUAUUAUUAAUUAAGCAGUUGAUGGUGAAAGAUACACCUAAAGUAUCCUAAUUAUCGAGUCUCAUAUUCGAACUAUCAAUUGAGCACUCUAACUUACAAAAUGAUCAUCUAGGCACCUAAUUCAAAACUUAUGUGUCACGUCAACGUCAGGUGUUCAUUAGACACAAUGAGGACAAAUUGAAGUGUUUAAUUGUCAAUUAAGACCAAAUUGAGAUGUCUAGAUGUACACUCUCAAAGUUGAAGUGCUUAUUUGAUUAGAUUGAAUCAAAUCAAGAAAAAGAAACUCAAUCAAGAAUUUGGUUUGGUAUCGAAGAAAAAAAAUUCGAUCAUAAUUAAUUUAGUUUAGUCAGAACUUAAGAAAAAGCAUAUCAAAAUCAAACCAAAGUGAUAUUAUAUUUAUAUAAAUUUUAUAAAUAUGUUAUACUUUAAAAUAUUUAUUAUAAUUCUUAAUAAAUAAUGGUUGUCGAUGCCAAAUGGUGGUAUGUAAUUAAUGGUGGACGAUGGCAGUAGGUUGGAUGAGGGAAUUGUUGAACUACUAACAACAGAUCCAGUAAAAUCUCACUAAGUGGAAUCUGAGGAGGGUAGAGUGUAUGCACUCUACCUCCAAUUUUCAUGAAAAUAUUUAAAUAGAUAUCUUAAUAAUAUUAAUAUUUUUUUCUUAUAGAGAUUAAUCAUUUAGAUUUAUUCAAACACUACAAAAAAAAAAAAAAGGGGGCGGGCGAGGGGGGGUGGGGGUGUAUGUGUGAGAGAGAUCACUAUUCUGAUGGACUAAUGCAAAGUCAAAUAUUGACUAUAUAGAAAUUAUAAAGAUAUCAUGUGCACUACAACCAAACCAAUUUUAAAUUUUCUGGGAAUGUGUACUAAUAAUGUACUUGUUAAUAUUAUUCCACAUUUGAUAUAAUUCUUUUACUAAUUAAUCAAAGAGAAGAAAUGUAAACUAAAAUAUACUUAACUCUUGAGUCAAACUUCUUCUGGCAGCAAUUAACAGCUAACUUUGAUUUGUCUUUUGUCCUAAAGAUGGUUGAUGCCUCUGUGUCAUUCGCAGUUCAAAAACUUCUCAUACAGGAAGCUUCCCUGCGUACAAGUCUCAGACAGGAUGUGCGGUGGCUGCGAAAUGAGCUGUUCUUCAUGCAGUCUUUCCUUAAAGAUGCAGAACAAAAGCAAGUUGUAGAUCAAAGAGUUCAGCAAUGGGUGUUUGAGAUCAACUCUGUUGCUAAUGAUGCCAUUGCUAUAUUGGAGACUUAUAGCUUAGAGGCUAGUAAAGGUAACGACCCUAGAUUUGCUAGUCGUCUGAAGGCUUGCACUUGCAUCUGCAGGAAGGAGACAAAAUUCUACAACGUCAGCAUCACUAAAGCAUUGAAUCAUGGAUAUCUCUCACAAACGAGAGACUUAUGGUAUUAGAGAUAUCAAUAAUGCAGGAGAAGGGCCAAGUAAUUGCCCAAACAAUCAGUAUGACAUGGUUAGAACAUUGAGGAGAACUACCUCAUAUGUAGAUGAGGAUCACAUUUUUGUUGGCUUUCAGGAUGUUGUACAAGCAUUGCUAGCUCAACUUCUCAAAGCAGAGCUUCACAGAAGCGUCAUCUCCAUUUAUGGUAUGGGCGGAUUAGGCAAGACAACUCUUGGGAGAAACCUAUACAUCAGUCCUAAUAUAGUCUCUAGCUUCCCUACACGUGCUUGGAUAUGUGUUUCUCAAGAGUACAACACCAUGGAUCUCCUUAGGAAUAUCAUAAAAUCCAUCCAAGGUUGCACCAAGGAAACUCUAGAUUUGUUGGAAAAGAUGACAGAGAGAGAUCUAGAAAUUUACCUUCGUGAUCUUUUAAAAGAACCCAAAUACCUUGUGGUGGUCGAUGAUUUAUGGCAUAGAGAAGCAUGGGAAAGUUUGAAACGAGCAUUUCCAGAUAGCAAGAACGGCAGCAGAGUAAUUAUUACUACACUAAAAGAGGAUGUCACUGAAAGAGCAGAUAACAAAGGUUUUGUCUAUAGCUUCGCUUCCUGAGCCAAGAAGAAAGUUGGUAUCUCUUUUGUAGGAAACUACUUGAUGUUCGGGCAAUGGUCUCAGCAAUGGAAAGGCUAGCAAAGGAAAUGGUGGACAAGUGUGGAGGUUUACCUCUUGCAGUUGUUGUAUUAAGCGGACUACUUUCACAUAAAAGGGGGUUCGAAGAAUGGCAAAAGGUGAAGGACCACCUUUGGCAAAACAUUAAAGACGACUCUAUUGAAGUCUCCUGCAUACUAUCAUUGAGCUACAACGAUUUGUCAAUUGCGCUCAAGCAGUGUUUCCUGUACUUUGGUAUUAUUCCAGAAGAUCACGUGGUCCAUGUUGAUCACAUAUUAUGGUUGUGGAUGGCUGAAGGAUUUGUACCAACAGGAAAAGAAAUAAUGGAGGAUGUUGUUGAAGGCUUCUUGAAUGAGUUGAUAAGAAGAAGCUUGAUACAAGUGGUACGCACAUUUUGGGAAAAAGUUGGUAAUUGUAGGAUUCAUGAUCUGCUUCGCGAUCUUGCCGUACAAAAAGCAUUGGAGGUAAACUUUUUUGACAUUUAUGAUCCAAGAAAGCACUCCAUAUCCUCCUUGUGUCUUAGACAUGCCAUUCAUAGUCAAGGAAAAAGGUAUCUCUCACUUGAUCUUUCUAACUUGAAGGUUAGGUCACUUAUGUUCCUUGAUACGGAAUUUUUAAAGAUGGGUCUUAUAAAGUUCCAUAAUGUGUUCCAACAUCUAUAUGUGUUGUACUUGGAGAUGCGUGUUGACAAUGUCUAUAGUACCUGAUGCCAUAGGAAGUUUGUACCACCUCAAGUUCUUAAGAUUGAGAGGUAUCUAUGAUCUUCCCUCUUCCAUUGGCAACCUCAAGAAUUUACAGACACUUCUUGUCAAUGACUAUGGAUACUUUUGCCAACUACCCCGCGAGACAGCUGACUUGAUAAAUUUAAGACAUUUAGUUGCUUCGUAUUCAAUACCUCUGAAAUGUAUAAGGAAACUCACUAGUCUUCAAGUUCUUAAAGGCAUCCAUUGUGAUCAGUGGAAAGAUGUUGACCCUGUUGAUUUAGUCAAUCUUCGAGAAUUAAGCAUGCAUGAGAUUACCAAAACUUACUCACUGAACAACAUUAGCAGCUUGAAAAACCUUAGCACUCUAAAAUUGUGCUGUGUAGCUUAUGAAUCAUUCCCAAACCUUGAAUAUCUUAGUUCUUGUCAAAACCUUCAGAAAUUGUGGUUAGAGGGGCAAAUAGAAAAACUGCCUCUCUCAGAGCAGUUUCCGAAUUCCAUCGCCAUGAUGGUCCUUCGGUACUCAGAACUCAUGGAAGAUCCCAUGUCUACUCUAGGGAUGCUGCCAAAUCUAAGGAAUCUCGAUUUGUUUAGAGCUUACGGAGGAAAAGAAAUUACUGCAUUGAUAACAACUUCAGUCAACUGGAGAUCCUUCGUCUUGAUUGUCUUGAGAACUUAGAAAGGUGGCAUUUAGCCACAAGUGCCAUGCCUCUGAUUAAAGGUCUUGGUAUCCAGCGUUGUCCAAAGCUACAUGAGAUUCCCGAUAGAAUCAAAGACGUAGAGAGAACUCCUUUUCAAUGAAGCUUUUCAAGCAUAUGUGAUGUCCUAUUUCAGCUCUUUCAUAAUCGUAGAGGUAAUAAAUCCCAAUCCCCAAUGAUCAUUUCUUUAAUUCCUUUUAAUUACUCACUCUGCCACAGAUUUGUUAGUAUAAUGUUUAAUUUUUAUACUAUGACAGUACAACUUUUAAUACAUUAUCAACAUACUAAAAGAAGUCAACUAUAAAUAAUUGUCUAUAAGUAAAUCACUUAUGCAUGAGAUUUUGUCUUGUAUCCCAACAACAACAUACCCAGUACUGUAUUCCAACAGAAUGAGUUCUGGGGGGUAGAGUGUACGCGAACCUUACAUCCACCUCAAAGGUCAGGUAGAGAGACUAUUUCUGAUAAACUCUCGGCUCAAGACAAAAACAGACUAGAAAAAGACAUAAUGGAAGUAGAAGAGACAAUAGGUAGUAACAAAACAACAGAUGAAAGCAGAACAGUACUACAACCAAAUAAUAUUACAAUCAAACUAUGAUUAAUCAUCAAUUUAGGUUAUUGAUAAAUCUUUUGUUCUUUAUUGAAUACUAUUCCUCAUAUUAAAUAGUGUCUUACAAUUUUGUGAAUAGGAGAAGCAACAGCUGGCAGGUGUGGAACUUUUGCCAAGCAGUUCAAGAGAUUUACAUGCAGCAAGUCAGAUUUUAGAAAUAAUAAGCAUGUUUUAUUUUUUUUUGGCUUUAGGUCAUGUGUUUAAAUUAUAAGUGUGACGUUCAAGAUUUUUUUUAAAAAAUCUCCUUGUAUAAAUUUCUUGAAUCUUGUCAAAUUUAAUAAAUCUCCACCUUGGCAAGAUUCUCCAUUUUCAACUUUCUCUCAACAACUUUUGAUUGUGUCUUCAACCUUAAUCUUCAAUGUUCAACAAUGUUGAUCAAGUUCAAACAAUGUUGAAACUUGACCGCAGUAACCACUUUUGUCAGCAUAUCGGCAGGAUUAUCCGUAGUAUGAAUUUUCUACACUGUGACUCCACCUUCUUCUAUGAUGUCUCGUAUGAAAUGAUAUCGGACAUCAAUGUGCUUCGUCCUUGCAUGAUAAACUUGGUUCUUUGCUAAUUGAAUAGCACUUUGACUAUCACAAAAUAUUGUGAUUCCUUCUUGUCCAAUACCAAGCUCUCUAAGCAAUCCUUGAAGCCAAAUUGCCCCUUUGCAGCCUCUGUAAUUGCCAUAUACUCUGCCUCAGUGGUAGACAAAGCAACUCUUGACUGCAAAGUAGGCUUCCAACUAACUGGUGCGUUUGCAAUAGUGAAAACAUAACCAGUAGUUGAUCUUCGUUUGUCCAAAUCACCUGCAUAAUCUGAGUCACAAUAUCCAACAAGAUAUUGACUAUCUUUAUGCUCAUAAACCAAGUCAAUAUCUACAGUAUUAUGAAUAUACCGUAGAAUUCAUUUUACAGCCUGCCAAUGAUCCUUUCCAGGAUUAUGCAUAUACCUGCUUACAACUCCAACAGCGUGUGAAAUAUCUGGCCUUGUGCAAACCAUUGCAUACAUCAAGCUACCAACAACAUUCGCAUAUGGUACUUUUGACAUAUAUUCUUGUGCAACUUCACUCUUUGGCGACAUAGCAUCACUAAGCUUAAAAUGAGGAGCAAGCGGAGUGCUAACCGACUUCGUUUUCUCAUUCAUGCCAAAUCGAUUUAGUACCCUCUUCAAAUAUUCUUUCUGAGAUAAAAAAAAGCUUCUUUGAAUGACGAUCUCUUUUUAUCUCCUUGCCAAGAAUCCUCUUUGCCUCGCCCAAAUCAUUCAUCUCAAACUCCUUUUUUUGUUGAAUCUUUAGCUUCUCAAUUUCCUCUUGACUUUUAGAAGCUAUCAACAUAUCAUCAACAUAUAGGAGAAGAUAGAUAAAGGAAUCGUCUUCAAGCUUGCGCAAAUACACACAAUGAUCGUAUUUGUUUCUUAUGUACCUUUGCUGCAACAUAAACUUGUCAAAUCGUUUGUACCAUUGUCUAGAAGAUUGUUUCAAUCCAUACAACGAUUUUUCAAGUUUGCACACCAUAUUUUCUUUUCCAUCAACUUUGAAUCCUUCUGGCUGAGUCAUGUAGAUUUCCUCUUCCAAGUCUCCAUGUAAAAAUGCAGUUUUUACAUCCAACUGAACUAGUUCAAAAUUCAACUGUGCUACCAAAGCCAACAAAACUCUAAUGGAGGAGUUUUUCACAAUUGGAGAAAAUACCUCAUUAUAGUCAAUUCCCUCCUUUUGAGUGUAUCCUUUGGCCACCAAUCUUGCUUUGUAGCGAACAUCUUCUUGGUUAGGAAAUCCUUCUUUCUUUGCAAAUACCCAUUUGCACCCAAUUGCUUUCUUGCCAUCCGGGAGAUUGGCCAAUUUCCAUGCAUGAUUCUGAUGAAAGGACUGCAUUUCUUCAUCUAUGGCAAACCUCCACUUAUCUUCUUCUGAACUUUGGAUUGCAUCUUUAUAAGUGGUAGGAAUGUCAUCCGCUGCAAUUGAGUCCGCACAAGCCACCACAUCUGUGAGUCGAGCAGGUUUUCUUAUUGUCCUUUUUGGCUUGCUGGUUGCUAUUGAUUCAAGUUGUGGUUGAGGUUCUUGAGAUGGAACCUCCCCUUCGACUGGCUCUUCUUCCAGAGGAAACACUUCUAUUGUUUCCUCAUUUGAUCCAUGUUUUAGGAAAAUUAUAUUUCCCUCAAACUCCACCUGCUUUGAAGCACCAUCAGUUUGUUUGACUUCUUCAACUGUUACCUUAUUUGUCAAGGCAGAUUCAUCAAAGGUAACAUCCCUACUGAAAAUAAUUUUUCUUGUCUCUGGACACCAUAAACGAUAUCCUUUGACUCCAGAAGUAAUUCCCAUAAAUAAAGCUUUAUUUGCUCUUGGGUCCAAUUUUGACUCCCUUACAUGAUAAUAUGCAAUUGAGCCAAAUACAUAUAAAGAACCAUAAUCUUCAGCAGGUUUUCCAUACCAUUUUUCUAAUGGUGUCUUCCCACCAAUAGCAGCAGAUGGUAGACGAUUAAUCAGGUGACAUGCAUAAUGUUAUUGUCUCAGCCCAAAAUUCUUUGCCCAAGCCAGCAUUGGACAACAUACACCGAACCUUCUCCAGCAAAGUUCGGUCCAUGCAUUCUUCCACUCCAUUCUGUUGUGGUGUAUUUCUAACGAUGAAAUGUCUGACGAUGCCAUUUUCCUCACAAAUUUUCUGAAAAAGAUCAUUUUUGUAUUCUCCACCAUUGUCUGUGCGAAGACACUUGAUCUUUUUUCCACUUUGAGUUUCUAUCAUCACUUUCCAUUUGAGAAAAAUUCCCAAUACUUCAUCUUUUGUUUUCAUCGUAUACACCCACAAUCUUAGGGAAAAGUCAUCAACAAAGGUUUCAAAAUAGUGUUUCCUACCUAAUAAAUGUGUUUUGGAAGCACCCCAAACAUUUGAAUGAACAUAAUCCAAAAUACCUUUAGUAUUAUGGAUAGUUGUUCCAAAUCAUGGAAAUCUCUCGCAAACGAGACACUUAUGGUAUUACAAAUAUCAAUAGUAAUGCUGGAGAAGGGCCAAGUAAUUAGUCUGCCAUGGUUAGAACAUUGAGGAGAACUACCUCCUAUGUGGAUGACCAGGAUUACAUUUUUGUUGGACUUCAAGAUGUUGUACAAACAUUGUUAGAUGAACUUCUCAAACCAGAGACUCGUUGAAGUGUUGUCUCCAUUUAUUGGCAUGGGCGGAUUAGGCAAGACCACUCUUGCAAGAAACCUCUACAACAAUCCUAAUAUAGUCAAUAGCUUCCCUACACGCGCAUGGAUAUGUGUUUCUCAAGAGUACAACACAAUGGAUCUCCUUAGGAAUAUCAUAAAAUCCAUCCAAGGUUGCACUAAGGAAACUCUAGAUUUGUUGGAAAGGAUAACUGAAAAAGAUCUAGAAAUUUACCUUCGUUAUCUAUUAAAAGAGCACAAAUAUAUACCUUGUGGUGGUUGAUGAUGUAUGGCAGAUAGAAGCAUGGGAGAGUUUGAAAAGAGCAUUUCCGGAUGGCAAGAAUGGCAGCAGAGUCAUUAUUACCACGCGCAAAGAGGAUGUCGCUGAAAGAGCAGACAACAGAGGUUUUGUCCAUAAACUUCGUUUCCUAAGCCAAGAAGAAAGUUGGGAUCUCUUUAGUAGGAAACUACUUGAUGUUCGAACAAUGGUUCCAGAAAUGAAAAGUCUAGCUAAGGAUAUGGUCGAAAAGUGUAGAGGCUUACCUUUUGCAAUUGUUGUAUUGAGCGGACUACUUUUGCAUAAAAAAGAGCUAAAAGAAUGGGAAAAGGUGAAAGAUCACCUUUGGAAGAACAUUAAAGAAGAUAAAUCUAUUGAAAUCUCCAACAUACUAUCCUUAAGCUACAAUGAUUUAUCAACUGCGCUCAAGCAAUAUUUUCUCUACUUUGGUAUUUUUCCACAAGAUCAAGUGCUCGGGGCUGAUAACAUAAAAUGGUUGUGGAUGGCCGAGGGUUUCAUACCCAGAGGAGAAGAAAGAAUGGAGGAUGCCGCAGAAGGCUUCUUGAAUGAACUUAUAAGACGAAGCUUGGUUCAAGUGGCUAAAACAUAUUGGGAAAGAUUUACUGAAUGUAGGGUUCAUGAUUUACUCCAUGAUCUUGCGAUACAAAAGGCAUUGGAGGUAAACUUCUUUGACAUUUAUGAUCCAAGAAGCCACUCCAUAUCCUCUUUAUGUAUCAGACAUGUGAUUCAUAGUGAAGGAGAAAGGUACCUCUCACUUGAUCUUUCUAACUUAAAGUUGAGGUCAAUUAUGUUCUUCGAUCAAAAUUUUCGUAAGAUGAGUCUUAUAAACUUCAGGAGUGUGUUCCAACAUCUAUAUGUGUGUCUAUAGUACCUGAUGCCAUAGGAAGUUUGUACCACCUCAAGUUCUUAAGAUUGAGAGGCAUCCAAGGUCUUCCCUCUUCCAUUCGCAACCUUAAGAAUUUACAGACACUGUAUGUCAAUGACGACAUACAGUAUUGUGAACUACCCCAUGAGACAACUGACCUAAUAAAUCUAAGACAUUUAGUUUCCCUGUAUUCAAAACCUCUGGAACAUAUAAGCAAACUCACUAGUCUUCAAGUUCUUCAAAACAUCUGUUGUGAUCAAUGGAAAAAUGUUGACCCUGUUGAUUUAGUCAAUCUUCGAAAAUUAAGCAUGCAUGAUAUUACCAAAUCUUACUCCCUAAACAACAUUAGCACCUUGAAAAACCUUAGCACUCUCAGAUUGUUGUGUUGUGCUGAUGAAUCAUUCCCAUCUCUUGAAUUUGUUAAUUGUAGUGAAAAGCUCCAGAAAUUGAGGUUAGAAGGGAGAAUAGAGAAACUGCCUCAUCUGUUUCCAAAUUCCAUCACAACGAUGGUUCUGAGGUUCUCAGUACUGACAGAAGAUCUGAUGCCUAUUUGGGAAUAUUGCCAAAACCUGAGGAAUCUCGAUUUGCUUAGAGCUUAUGAAGGAAAAGAAAUAAUGUGCAGUGAUAACAGCUUCAGUCAACUAGAGUUCCUUCGUCUUUAUGAUCUUGAGAAGCUAGAAAGAUGGGAUUUAGGCACAAGUGCCAUGCCUCUGAUUAAAGGUCUUGGUAUCCAUGACUGUCCAAAUUUAAAGGAGAUUCCUGAGAGAAUGAAAGACGUGGAGUUGUUGAAGAGGAAUUAUACGUGGUGAAGCUUUUGAAGCAUAUAUCAUGUCUUAUUUUGGCCUCAUAAUCGUAGAUUUUAGUGUUUCUGCCAAGCACUUGAAGACAUUGGUUAUUUCAGGGCUGUCAAUGAGAGUGGUUUUAGUGUUUGAUUUCUUAUUGUUUUAAGCUUUUUGAGUGAGUGUAAUUGGUUUGAAGAUAGUUGUUUUUGGCAAAAAUGAUUUUGUGAUGUUUUAAUUAAUUGUCUACUGUAUGUUCCCCUACUUAGCCACAUUUAAGACAAUGCUUUAUAUGUUAAAAUGUGUUGGUGUAAUAUACCCUAAAUAUAAUAAGUAAAUAAAAUGACAAAAAAUGCAUAAACAAAUCUUUAGGCUGAGGCACGGAUAUCUCGCUCUCUUUAAGGAGAUUCAAGCCCACUGCAGCAUAAUCUACACCGAUCCAGCAGUAUCACUCUUGACUUGUCCCCUCUAGGAUACAACAGCCCAACAAUGUGUACAACUCAAGCAACUCCGGAUUAGUUAAAGAGUCCAAAGCUCCACAUAAGAACACUUUCCUUCAACAUAUAAAUACUCUCUUGUCUAUAGUGAAUAUAGUUGAAGACUUAGAAUAUUUUUCUAUGUCUCAACUCUCUCUUUCACUAUUACACACUACAAUAUUACUUCACACUUCUCAUCUUUUUGAGAUACUUCACAAAGGAAGAAACACAACUAUUUAUAGGUGAAGAAGUCUCCCAUAUAAUCAAUAGGUAGAAUGAGGGGUAGUAAUGUGGCUGGAUAAAUGUGAUAGAUGUUACAUGAGUUACAAGAAACUAAUGGUCAUAUGAGUUACAAGAAACUAAUGACCAUGAUAGUUACAAGAACUAAUGGCCAUAUAGGUUACAAGAACCAAUAGUCAUCUUCUACCACAAUUUAUACCCACUAACUUAUGCACUUAAUAUUUUAUUUUAAUAAUAAAAUGUAUAUACACCAACAAAAUGAAAUUAAAAAUAGUAUAUGGUGUUAUGAAUCAACCCCAGCCCAAUAGGUGUUCUUAUUGAGGACGGGAGUAUUGUUAUGAAUCAGCCCCAGCCCAAUAGGGAUACCAACAAGGAUAUCACACAAAUAGAUAUUGGGCCGAGUAAAAGCAAUCGGGCCAGGCCUUCACAAAUUGUUUGGGAUCCAGGCCCAUUUACACUUUGUUAAAAAGGGCAAAUGAGUUGGAAAGAAGGAUUAGGAAAAUUGUUAAAGAAAGAGUGUUUCCUCUCAUCUCCCUUCUUAGUCUAAGCUUCUCAUCCCCUUCCUAUGGGUUCUUCUGAUUUCUCAUCUCCUUGCUAUUAUCUAUCCUAGUUUCUUUAUCUUCUGUAAUUUCUAUUGUACUAGUACUAUUUCUAUGUUGCUGUAGUACACCAGUUAAUACAAUCAGUGAAAAGAGUUUGGCUACUGUUCUUUUGUGAUUAGUGUUUGUUACAUAGGUGCUUUCAUCCAGAGAACUCCAUCAUCAGCUAUGUUUCUACCUAGAUUCAAUGGCAAUGACAACGGCAACCCGAAGAACUGGAUUUUUCGGGCAGAAUUGUACUUCACAUACCUUGGUUUCGACGAGAAGGACUGGCUACCUCUUCCUUCCUUCUACUUUGAUGGUGAAGCUCUUUCCUGGUUCGAUUGGUUGUUUCGCAACAAGCUACUCGUCGAUUGGAACCAUUUCAAGGAUGCAUUUACUCAGCGAUUUCAACAACAAACCAACAUAAAUGUGUUGGGGCGUCUAGCUAAUUCCUCACAGGUUCAUUAUGACUACAUUAGUUCUGUCCCUAUAGUUUCACAAUCAGUUGUGGUGUCUCCUUUUUCUGCUUCCAGUCAUUUUUCAAGGUCCUCUGCCAUUGCAUCUGCCUGCAACGCUGAAAGCUCACAGGCAGACCAGGUGCUCGAUGAAAGUUCUCACGGCAUUAAAUUAAAUGAGGUAAGGUCAAUUGCACCCCGAGUAUCACUCCUAGUUCCUUUUGAUGGUCCAGAAGUUGUUAGGCCAAAUGAACAUCUCGAACGAGAUAUGUCAAUGAGGUAUGUAGAUGUUAACUCUCUUGCUAGUGGCUCUCCUAAAUUGAAAACUGAUUCGGAGACCUUCGUAGACUGGUAUCUUUCUGAUUUGUUCAUGGAACCUGUGGGUAAUGAAAAUCUGUAUCUCAAUAUCUCGACAAGUUCAAUACAUUCUGUUAAAAUACUUCCUGACAUUGAAAAUGGAAAAUCCACCGGGGCGUUCAAUGAUCAAAAUAUUUCAAGUCAAUUUCCAUUGGUUCCUGCUGCUAAUUUAUUUAUUAUAAUCAUGCCUGUGAUUGCAAUGGACCUUUGUGUAUGGGAUCCAGGAAUAUGUUUCGAGUUCAUGGCUCUAACAGAUUUUAUAGAGAACGCAGAGGAAUUAUUUUUGUUGGGCUGUCCUUGCAAGUUUUUCUUAAAUGUAGAUUCAAACUCUAUGAGUAGAGUGUGGGAUCCGGGACAAACAUGGUGUGUAUAUUGCUACUUCUCUAAUGGGUCAUGCGUUAUGUAUAACUACAUUGCAUUCACAUGUCCUUCAAUCGCAUAUGAACUAGUCGUUGAGGAAUAUUUUUAUGUAAACUAUGACGUUUUGGUGGACAACUUCAAGCAAACAUCAGUUUUGCGUCCCGAUGUCAGCACUAGUUUUGACAGGAAAAUUGAGAAUUGCUACCUAGUGCUUGAUAGAAAGAAUCAUAUUGCAUUACUUAGUUCUACUAUAGGGCUUCAGAACUUUGAUGCUCAUUUUAAUGUGCUCCCAAUUGGCAUCACUGGCCCCAUGAAAGUUUUUGGAAGACAUAGUGUUGCGCACGAAGUACUAUCUAAUUCUGCCCAUCACUGGUCCUUGAAGAUUUGUUUACAUGGACUUUUCCAUAAUUGGUUUGCUGGAAGAACUCAUUGGUUUGUUUUUGUUGUUAUUAAUGGUGAUGUUGUGGGAAGUUCAACUAGAAUUGUCCAUUUAAACAAAUGGGUUUCUGGGCAGCGGCUGAAGGAUAAUGUACAAAUGCCUAGGCAUAACAAUGUGUCAUGGAGGGGAAAUUCUGGGCUGCAAGAUGGAAAGUAUAUUGAUUUUAUUAAAUAUAAAUAUUUGGUGGUGGUCUACAAUGAUGCCAGAGAUGGACUACAACUUAGUUUGCCUUUAUUUCAUGUUCUUACUAUGCUAAGCUGGAGUGUGAGUGUGCAUCUUGCAAAUUAUAAAGUUGUUGAACUAAAUCAUGUCAGGGAUGUUUUCAAAGCAGCCUUCACUAUGAUGUCCAUUCUAAGGAUAUUGUGGCCUAGGAGACAUGUAAUUGGAGAAAAUGAUGAGUUUAUCGGCAAGAAGGCUGCUUAUGCAUUGAGCCAAGGCGUUGGCGUUAUAGCCUGUAUUGGAGAGCUGUUACAAGAAAGAGAAGCAGGAAAAACUUUUGAUCUCUGUUUCCAGCAAUUGAAGGCUUUUGCAGAUGCUAUACCAAGUUGGGAUAAUGUUGUCAUUGCGUAUGAGCCUGUCUGGGCUAUUGGAACUGUUGCCUCGCCUGAUUUUUCUUGUCACAACCAUGUCCAACAGGCAGUAAACUGUUUUGACACAAUAUACAAAGCUUGGUAUGAAGCUCUUGAUUUUUCUCACAAGGGACUUGCAGGUGUUUGCCAUCAAAUGCACUUCGUCCAUCUUAAAGUCAAUGUAACUGCACCUAGAUUACCAAUGCUUUCGUUGGCGAGAUCUCUUGACUUGAACCUUGAGGACAAGGUUCUUAUUGAGGACGGGAGUAUUGUUAUGAAUCAGCCCCAGCCCAAUAGGGAUACCAACAAGGAUAUCACACAAAUAGAUAUUGGGCCGAGUAAAAGCAAUCGGGCCAGGCCUUCACAAAUUGUUUGGGAUCCAGGCCCAUUUACACUUUGUUAAAAAGGGCAAAUGAGUUGGAAAGAAGGAUUAUGAAAAUUGUUAAAGAAAGAGUGUUUCCUCUCAUCUCCCUUCUUAGUCUAAGCUUCUCAUCCCCUUCCUAUGGGUUCUUCUGAUUUCUCAUCUCCUUGCUAUUAUCUAUCCUAGUUUCUUUAUCUUCUGUAAUUUCUAUUGUACUAGUACUAUUUCUAUGUUGCUGUAGUACACCAGUUAAUACAAUCAGUGAAAAGAGUUUGGCUACUGUUCUUUUGUGAUUAGUGUUUGUUACAUAUGGUACUCUCACUUGUCCACAAUUUAGUAUUUUCUGUUCCUCCUUCAAUAGCAAAGGAGUUCAUUUAUCUAACUAGUUUUGGUAUCUUAAGUUUUUGGUUUCUGGUUUCAGACAGAUUCGAAAACUACUUAUACUGCAAAAUUAGAGAUGCAACGCAUACCAAAAUAAUCCAAUCACUAGAAGUCUAAUUUACUGACUCAAAUUUAAUUACAUGCCUUCUUCACCUAACUGACUCUAGAUUUAUUGGAAAGGAUGACAGAAGGAAAUCUAGAAAUUUAUCUUCGUGAUCUAUUAAAAGAAUGCAAAUGUGAUGUAUAGCAGAGAGAAGCAUGGGAGAAUUUGAAAAGAGCAUUCCCGGAUAGCAAGAAUGGAAGCAGAGUUAUUAUUACCACGCCCAAAGAGGAUGUCGUUGAAAGAGCAGACGACAGAGGUUUUGUCCAUAAACUUUGUUUCUAAGCCAUGAAGAAAGUUGGGAUCUCUUUUGUAGGAAACUACUUGAUGUUCGAGCAAUGACCUCAGCAAUGGAGAGGCUAGCAAGCUAUGGAUAUGGUGGACAAGUGUAGAGGUUUACCUCUUGCAAUUGUUGUAUUAAGGAGGCUAGAAGAAUGGCAAAAGGUGCAGGACCGCCUUUGGCAGAACAUUAAAGACGACUCUAUUGAAUUCUCCUACAUACUAUCAUUGAGCUACAACCAUUUGUCAACCUUAGAUGGAAUAAGCACACCAUCACUAUCACAAUAAGAAAUAUCAAUCUUCUCAUACCUAUCAUGAAAAAAGGAUCACUGGAGGAGCUUAGAGCGAAAAAUCAUGAAAACCAUUCAUUCGAGAAAUCAUAUCAUCAUCAUCAUAUGUUAUUAAAAGUAGGAAGAAUCUAAGUCAAAAGUUGAAUUAUGAAAAAACCCCUUACCUAUUAAUUUUUUUUUUUAAAAUCAUUUUAAAAAAUUAUUUUUCCAUUUAAAAUCAACUUCAUAACUACACCUCUGCAUUUUCCUAACUUAUCAUCAUAUUAUCAUAAAUAAAUAAUAAAUAAUAAUAAUUAUUAAAAGUGGAAAGCUCCAAAAUUUGAAGUUGGGUCGUCAUUUUACCCCUAUAUUAAAUAAAAAAGUUAUAAAAUAUUUUAUUAAUUAAAUAUUAAAUAGUAAUAAUUUGUCAUUUUUUCUUCACAUAUAAAAAAAGAGAAAUAAAACUUCUAUGAAAUUAGUAAAUAGUAAGUAUAUAUAUAAGUGGAACCAAAAUAUUUUUAAAAUUGAAUUAUCAAAAUGUCCAUAAAAUAUUGAAUGACAUUAAUAUCCUUCAAUCAAAUAUUAUUCCUACAAUAAUAUUGUACAAGAAUAUAAAUAUACACUUAGUUCAAUGCAUUAGGCUAUUUAAUAUAUAUAUAUAUACACGAAAAUACCCAUUAAUAUUUUGCUACAAGUGAAUUUGGCCGCGCUACGCGCAGUGGAAUUACUCAUUUAACAAAUUCAUUAUUAAUUUGAAAAUUGAUUUACUACUAUAUAGUUUAUGAACUAUAAUGCUAAUUGUUUUGAAAAUUCUUUAAAUGUUAUAAACCAUAAAGAAUUGUUUAUAUAUACUUUAUAAAUUUUAAACAUGUUAGCUUUCAUAUAAAAGUGUUGCUUGUUACAACAAAAAUUAACAUUCUAUUUGGUAGAAGAAAGAAAGAAAACUAUAGGUAAAUAGAUGAGUCAAAGAUAUCAAAAUACUUGUGAAUGAUCGUGAUUUAUCGAGCAAGAACUCAUAUGUUAAACUAUUUUAAAUUUUUUAUUAUGCACUUUUCAAGUUCAUUAGUACUAUUCUCUUUCAGAUAGUAUAGUUACAGUAUAAUUUUAAAAAAAGGACCGACAUGCUCGUGUUUUCUUCACCUUUGGUUGUUUCUUUGUUCUUCACAGUUGUUUUAUAUUUCCCUUUUGUUUCAAUACACUCUAAAGAUAGAAAUGUUCUUCAAACUCCACAAAUAGAACAAACAUGUAAAAGAAUAACUUAUGAAACUUAUAGAAACAUUUGAGAAGAUGAUAUACUUGUAGUGCUCUCCACUUAAACGAAUAUCUGAGAUCCUAAUAAUUUUACGGAGAUCCUAAUAAUUUUACCUGAAAUCUUUCUGUUGCCUGCACAAAAAUGACAUAUCCGAUGAUGAUAUUUGGUUGCCGAUAAUGAUAUGUAACUGCAAAACAAUUAUGAUAAAACAUAAAAUAAAAAAAGAUAGUACACAUACUACAGAAGGAAAGCAAACAUGAUCGGUUAGGUAACGAUUGCUUCUAAUUUUGCUUCAAAUUCUGAGUUUUAAGUGCAUGUUAAAUCUGUUACAAUAGUCAUUUAAGGUGGAAUUAAUGAUGGUAUCUAAUUGCUACGUUUAUUUAUAUUUUAUUUAUGAGUCUUUUAAAUUCAUUUGUUAGUAGCAGAAAUGAAACAAAAACAAUACAGGAAAAGGUGAAAAAUGGUCGUUUCAUCUUUUAUUAAUAAAUGAGAUGACAUUUGUUUUUUCAAACAUAUUACACAAAUUAAAACUUAAUAAAAAGCUCAAAAAAAAAAAAAGCAUAUUACACAAAUUAAAACUUAAUAAAAAGCUCAAAAUAAAAUAAAAUAGAGAAAUAUUAUAUAUAUAUAUAUAUAUAUAUGAUAUGAUUUAUUUAACUCCUAUUUAUGUUAUAUAUAUAUAUUUCUAGAAAGUUAAGUCUAUCUUCUAAUAAAUAUAAAUAAUAAUAUAGCAAAUGAAUGAACUAGAUAAAUCAAAAGACAUGGAGUUGUGUGUAUUCAAUUUUUGUAAAUGUUUUAUCUCCCGAUUCCUAAUGCAAAAAAUAAAACAUUUCUUCGUAGUAAUAAACAUAUGGAGAUUUUGAAAAGUUGUUUGGUAUAUUCAAUGUGGAAUAAAUUAUUUUGAUCAAUUCAAUACAAUAUAUUCAUUUACUAAAUGUUAUAUAUUGUGUAUAUAUAGUGAAAAAUAACAAGACAAUUAUAUCAUCAAAUAUAUAUUAUGAUAAAUUAUGUAAAAGAUAAAAAUGAAUCAUUCAUUAUAUAUUUACAACUAGGUAAUUUACCCGUGCGAAAUAAUUUUUCUAAGCUUUUGAACAACCUUUCCAAUAAUGAUUGUUAUAAGAAAAAAAAUUAGUAGAUUUUAAAAAUAUUUCAAUAGAAAUUAAAUGAUUUAACAUUAUCACAUAUCUCAAGAAUUGUAAAUAUAUAAUGAAUGAUUAAAAAUAUCUUCAUAUCUAAUCAUUUUUAUUUUUUACAUAAUUUAUCUUAAUAUAUGUUUGAUAAUAUAAUUGUCUUGUUAAAACUGAGUGAUGUUUUUAUGUAGCGAUUAAACAUCAUUUUUUCUAUUUUUUGUACAUGAAAAAUAUAGAAUCUGAUAAUUUUAUUGUUAGAAUAUAACUUCUAGUGAAAAAAAUUAUGUGAAAGUUUUCGAUAAUCAAUAUUAGUUAUAAAUAAGUUAAGACCGUUGAAAUUGUACACCACAACAACAUAAAUAAUUUUUUUUUAGAGACAAUCUACUUGUCUGAGGUCAAACGUUCACCACUUUUCGUUAUUGUUACUUUGUUACUCUAAAAAAAUUAUAGAAGGAGAAAAAUAAAAUUGAAACAACAGCAAAAUAAUAUUGUUGACCCUUUUAAAAAUUCAUUCUUCAUUAAUUGCUUCUCUGAAGACCCUUCUAGAUGCUUAAUCAAUGCAACUUUACGAUUUUUUCAGAAAUAUGUAUGUAUAAUUGUUGCAUUAUGAAAGUACAAGUAGAUCAAAAUGUUGGAUUCUACUCAUGUUAAAGAAAUAUUCUCGAACAUUAAAAAACUAAAAAUGAAUCUAACCUAGAUAACUCAAACACUCAACAAUGACUUGGGACAUGAAGGACAACAAAUCUAUGUUAAUAGACAUAUCUUUUGUAGUUUAAGACAUUACUUUUAUUUAGAGCAGGUUUUGUUUCAUAUCCUUCAAAUUAAGCUUGCCGAAAAUAGUCAUAACUCACACCAAAAAUAUUUAGAAGAGCCGAAUGAGAAAGAAAAAAAGAAAGACAUUAAAAGGGCGAAAGCUUUUUCCAAGUGAUCAGAUCAUAUACAUACCAAACGAAAAACAAUCAAUACAAUUUUAAGGAGACAACAAAACAGCGAGAAAAAACUUACAUUAAAAGGAGUAAACUAUGAGAUACCCAAUGAUGAUAACAAAUCAUUCUAACCAAAAAAGUUCUCAUGUUUUGAAAUAACAUACCUCAAAAAAUUGACUAACACUUCAAUCAACUUUCAAUCCUUAAAGUACUCAUAAUAUCCACAUAUAAAAUUUAGUAAAAAUAGAUAACAACAACAUAAAAACCAAAAAAUAUGGGCAUGCAAAGUUAUUAACUCUCAAAGGAUUUUCUAAAGAACACAAAAUCUCAUCCUUGUAUGUGAAGGAAUGUCGUUAUUGAUGAAGAAAUUAGAGAUUUGUAAGAGCUUUUUUAUUGUACCUUCAACAAUUCCAAUAGAGAAACCUUGCUUGAAUACUCAAUUAACGUUUGUUAUUUACCUCAAAAAAUUGACUAACACUUCAAUCAACUUUCAAUCCUUAGAAUACUCAUAAUAUCCACAUAUAAAAUUUAGUAAAAAUAGAUUACAACAACAUAAAAACCAAAAAAUAUGGGUAUGCAAAGUUAUUAACUCUCAAAGGAUUUUCUAAAGAACACAAAAUCUCAUCCUUGUAUGUGAAGGAAUGGCGUUAUUGAUGAAGAAAUUAGAGAUUUGUAAGGGCAUUUUUUAUUGUACCUUCAACAAUUUCAGUAGAGAAAACUUGCUUGAAUACUCAAUUAACGUUUGUUAUUUAAUUUGUACUAACAAAUACUUAUAACAAUAAUUUUGCAGAAACAUAAACAACAAAGUUUAAAGCAUGUACUCAAAAAUAACAAUUAAUAAUAUAAACAUAAAUUAAUGACCGUAAAAAACAUAUCAGGAUAUGUAACAAUAGAAUGAAACAGAAUGGAAAAAAUUGAGUCCACUGAAUGCACAGUCCCCCUUAAGGAAAUUAUUCCCCUCUAGUACCCGAGGUUUAAAGGAAUAGAUCCUCUCAGGAUAGAAUAAUUCUAUUCACCAUUGUAUUGAUACAAAAACAAUGGUGUCAGUGAGUCAUUCAACAGGAGCAAAAUACACAAAUAUUUAAUUGUUUAGAAGAAGAAGAAAUUCAAAAUUUUUGUUGUUUAAAAUGAGAGGAAAUUCCUCUAUUUAUAGACAACGAAGGGUAGUGUGAACAAAUGUAUAUUGUGUCUUAUCGAAAUUGUCACAACUCUUUGGAAAAGUUACAAAAGGUCACAACCUUUAUAAAAGUCAUAAUUUUUCAUAAAAGUUGCAAAAUGACUAAAAUAUCCAUAGAAAGAUAUUAGAUAUUUUUAUCGUUUUAAAAAUUAAUUAACUACAUAUUUUUUUAUAUUUUCCUUUUUUUUUUGUAUUUAUUUUCAUUGCACUUAAUAUCAUACGAACUAAAUUUUUUUCUCUUCUUUAUUUAUUAUUUUUCUCCUUUAUUUAUUUUAAAUUCAUUUUCAUGACUCAUGUUUAAUUAUCUAUUAGAUUGUUACUCUUAAUAUUUAUAACUCUUAUUCUUUUCAUAUUCAUAACUUCCAAUUAUUAAGAGAUGCUACCUAUAAAAGUUCCUAAAUACAUUAUUUGUGUUAUAGUCUUUUCUUCAUUCAACCUCAUUUGUUUUAUCCUUUGAGCUUCCAAUUGUAAUUAGUAUUAAUAAGUAUCUAUUACUCAUCUUUCUUAUCUUGCUUGCACUAUAUAAAGGUGUACAAAUGAAUAGUAAAUUAUGAUUCUCUUCUUUCUAUAAUUUUUUUUAUUGUUUUGCAUUUUCCUCAAUACUAUGUGGACAAGUAAAUUUAUUUUCUUUUGUGUUUAAGAGCUUAUAUUUACAAGGUAACAUGUAAUUAAUAUUAUUAUUUACUAUUUGAUUUAUGUUUUAGUUUAACUUGGUGAAGAAGAUUCUUGAAUUUUGAUUGAUUGUAGAAGAAGGUGUUGAUAAGAACUCGGAAUUUAUGUACUGAUUUUGUAUUUUCAUCCAUUUGUAUUAUUAUGAUCAAAGUCUUAAGAAGGGUGUGUAUGUUGUAUUUUUUCUUUUAUGUUUUUAUUUGUUUUUCUCAUUAUUAGACUUCUUUAAUUUGAUUUUCUAUGAAUUUUCGAAUGUCGUAAUUCUGUAAUUUUAAUCAUUUUAUCGAUCUAUAAAAAAUUACAUGGGAUAAACAUGCAAAUCACGUAUCCAGAAACUUGUUUGAUAUAAGAAUAUGUAAGACUCAGCAUACUAUGAGACAUGAGUGCUUAUAUGAAUAGAUUCAUAUUAGGAGGCUGAUAUUCAUAGCCUUAUAGAGUAAGAUAAAGAUCAAUGGGCUAAAGUUUCUGCCUCUUAUUCUGGGAAGUGAACAUAGAUAUGAAUUUAUGAUCUGAAGCGUUUGAGCAUAGGUCAUGGACAUAAUGCCAAUAUGUGAGAAAUCAACAAGGUGUUGUAACGAGUUAACUUUGAGGAAUACGCUAGACUAUGAAUGGAUUGAUAUACCACCAUAACUUUUUCUGAACACAUCAUUAUAUGAUUAUCAACGCUUGACUUGGUUCCUUACCUUAUCAUCUCCCCCUUAGGUCAGAAGCUGACACCCUAAGGCUAUGGACCUAUUACAUAUUCUCUAUACUAGUCUAUAUUCACUUUACUCUAACAUUCGAAAAAAUGCUAAUCACAUGUCUAUUAAACUCUCCAUGCGCAGGUACUAAGAUUCCUUUUAGGGCUUCUUUCUGAGCUGCUUCUCUUAACUUAUUCUUGCUUCUAUAGAAGUCUUUUGAUAAUCGUUACCCGCAUUGGAUUAUAAUUUUAUCUAACUCUUAAUUAAUAGUCUGACGUCUCCUUCUUAGCCUACUAAUACCGUCCUUCUAAGUUCAUAUCUAUCUAACUAGAGAAAACUUGAAUUGUAUUUAAUUAAGAGGCUCGUCAUUGUCUAUGUAUGAUUCUUUCGACCAAACUCUUAAGGGUAAUAAAGAAUGCUUGCAUCAGUCUACUCCACAUUGACAGCUCAAAUAUAUUAUCUAGGCACACAUAGAAAAUCAUAAACUUAAUUAAAGUCUCAUCUAACUAUAUAUGAUCUUGGGUACACAUCUUAGUGCUCUUGUUUAUCCAAUGACGUAGCCACACUUCAUUACUCUCGUCUAAGGGUCAUAAUACCACACUUGUACCACUCACAUUUAAUGCAAAUUAACACCUUAAUUCCUCACUUACUCUAUGUCAAAAGCCUACUAGAUCAAAUCUCAAAACUAACAUCAUUACCCCCCAUAUUGCCAUUCUUUUUAUCACUAUACUCAUCUCAAAUUCAAGCUUAGUGUCCAGUACUAAACAUGGAUAUCAAUGUCAUUGUUCACAUACUAUACUAACUUAUGACUACUGGAUAAAAUUAAGACACAGUCGCCGACUAAGACCUCAUGACAAGUAAUCAAUCUUUAUCCCCUAGUCUACCUAGUUACAGUUUAUCGCCACAUCCCUUUCACAACCUAAGUACUAUUUACCCCCUUCACUAUACAUUAUUGCCUAAUUAGUUCCAUAAUCCUAUUAAUAUCAUGAGGCUCUCCUUUCAAAAUCAUAAGUCUAGCUUAGAUCUAUUUCCUCAUGACUAUUUGUCCUUCAAACAUAUACUUGGUCUUCGCUAUCACAAUUACAUCAAAUUAAAAUUUAAAAUUUUGACUGCAAAAAAAGCGAAAGAAGCAAUCCAUAGAAAGAUUUGACGCUCUGAAACUUCAAGUUAACCUUCAUGGCUGAAUUCAAAUUAAUUUGUGCUAACUUAUUGAAUAUUUUUUUUCUUCUCUUCAAUGUUACAAAACACAUCUUCAAAAAAUUGAGAAGCCAUGCUCAUCAUUUUUUCCUAUAGAUUCCCCAAACGAGGAAACUUAAAAAGAACAGAAACGUAUCUAUUAUUAAAAGAUUAAAUUUGAACAUAAUUAAUUUAAAAUUUCUUAUUUUACCAUUAAUAAUAUAAUUUUAUACCACAUUGAUAUCACGAAAAUUUAAAAAUCCCAAAUCCCAAAUAUCUUUGGUUUAAAUGUGGCACCUAGCCAAACAUGUUUUUAUAAAUAAUCUUCAUUUAUUUUUGAAAGGUAUAAAAAUCGGCCAAAACUAUGUAGCCCAAGUAAAUGAACGGUAGUUAAAAAAAAAAAAAAAAGGUCAUUCGCACAAAUGCCAAUUUGAUGUGACAUUUUGAUAUUUUUUUCCUCUCAAAUGCAUUGUCUUUAAUUUUAUUCCUAUUGCUUAUUUAAUGAAAAUUUUAUUGGCUAAAAUACCCUUAAAUUUAACUAGACAGAACAUUUUACAUAAUGUUUGUAUACAUUGGAGCAUAAAUUUAUCAUGGGAAUAUUUUUUUAUUUGUUUUUUCGCUGUCAGAGAGAAUAUAUACUUUUCUUUGUUUUUUUUGCCGUCAGAGAGAAUAUAUACUUUUCUUUAUCAUUACCCUCAACUUUAUCAUCUUUCUACUUUAAGACUUUAACAAUAUUCCCAUGAUAACAAUAUUCCUUUACACUGAAUUUUUGAAGCUUUAAAUACUGAAUUCCAUGACAACAAUAUUUAUCUCUUAUCAAACUCUCAAUCUACUAAUUUCCAUACACACUUUACCUUUUACAAAAAAAAUAUUAAUUAAUUUCCAUAUUCCUAAAGAUGGCUGAUGCCGUUGUGUCAUUUGCAGUUCAAAAAUUGGGUGAUUUCCUCAUUCAGGAAGUUAACCUACGUUUAAGUCUAAGAGAGGAUAUGAAGUGGAUGAGAACUGAGCUUCUCUUCAUGCAGUCUUUCCUCAAAGAUACAGAACUAAAACAAUAUGGAGAUCAUACAAUUCAACAAUGGGUAACUGAGAUGAACUCUAUUGCUAAUGACGCUGUUGCUAUACUCGAGACUUACAGUUUAGAGGCUGGUAAAGGUGCUAGUCGUCUCAAGGCGUGCGCUUGCAUAUGUAGGAAGGAGAAGAAAUUCUACAAUGUCGCCAAGGAGAUUCAAUCACUCAAGCAACGAAUCAUGGAUAUCUCUCGUAAAAGAGAUACUUAUAGUAUUACAAAUAUCAAUAGUAAUGCUGGAGAAGGAACAAGUAAUCAGGUUACAACACUGAGGAGAACUACCUCAUAUGUGGAUGACCAGGAUUACAUUUUUGUUGGACUUCAGGAUGUUGUAGAAUCAUUGCUAGCUGAACUUCUCAAAGCAGAGCCUCGUCGAAACGUCCUCUCCAUUCAUGGGAUGGGUGGAUUGGGCAAGACCACUCUUGCCAGAAACCUCUACAACAGUCCUAAUAUAGUCUCAAGCUUCCCUACUCGCACUUGGAUAUGUGUUUCUCAAGAGUACAACACAAUGGAUCUUUUUAAGACUAUCAUAAAAUCCAUCCAAGGUUGCGCCAAGGAAACUCUAGAUUUGUUGGAAAAGAUGGCAGAAACAGAUCUAGAAAAUCACCUUCGUGAUCUAUUAGAAGGAUGCAAAUACCUUGUGGUGGUUGAUGAUGUGUGGCAGAAAGAAGCAUGGGAGAGUUUGAAAAGAGCAUUUCCGGAUAGAAAUAAUGGCAGCAGAGUUAUUAUCACCACGCGCAACCAGGAUGUCGCUGAAAGAGCAAACAACAGAGGUUUUGUCCAUAAACUUCGUUUCCUAAAACAAGAAGAAAGUUGGGAUCUCUUUUGUAGGAAACUACUUGAUGUUCGAGCAAUGGUUCCAGCAAUGGAAAGUCUAGCUAAGGAUAUGGUGGAAAAAUGUAGAGGCUUACCUCUUGCAAUUGUUGUAUUGAGUGGACUACUUUCGCAUAGAUGGGGGCUAGACAAAUGGCAAAACGUGAAAGACUGCCUUUGGAAGGACAUUGAAGAAGACUCUAUUGAAAUCUCCUACAUACUAUCAUUAAGCUUCAACGAUUUGUCAGCUGCGCUCAAGAAGUGUUUUCUCUACUUUGGUGUUUUUCCAGAAGAUCAAGUGAUCGAUGCUGACGACAUAAUGCGGUUGUGGAUGACAGAGGGUUUCAUCAUACCAAGAGGAGAAGAAAGAAUGGAGGAUGUCGCUGAAGGCUUCUUGAAUGAGCUGAUAAGACGAAGCUUGGUUCAAGUAGCUCAAACAUUUUGGGAAAAAGUUACUGUAUGUAGGGUUCAUGAUUUACUUCGUGAUCUUGCCAUACAAAAGGCAUUGGAGGUAAACUUCUUUGACAUUUAUGAUCCAAGAAAGAACUUGAAAUCCACUUCAUGUAUAAGACAUGCCAUUCAUAGUGAAGGAGAAAGGUACCUCUCAUCACUUGAUCUUUCUAACUCGAAGUUGAGGUCAAUUAUGUUCUUUGAUCCACAUAUUUGUAAUGUGUUCCAACAUAUAGAUGUGUUCCGACAUAUAUAUGUGUUGUACUUGGAUAUUGAUUAUGGUAAAGUUAUACCUGAUGCCAUAGGGAGUUUGUACAACCUCAAGUUGUUACGCUUGAGUGUUGUCAGUAAAAUUCCCUCCUCCAUCGGCAACCUCAAGAAUCUACAGACACUUGUUGUUGUCAAUAUGGACAGACGCUUUUGCCAACUACCCCCCGAAACAGCUGACCUAAUAAAUUUAAGACAUUUAGUUGUUCCAUAUUCUAUACCUCUGGCAGGUAUAAGCAAACUCACUAGUCUUCAAGUUCUUCGCCUUGAUUGUGAUCAGUGGAAAGAAGUUGACCCAGUUGAUUUAGUCAAUCUUCGAGAAUUAGAGAUGCGUAAUAUAUACAAAUCUUACUCCCUAAACAACAUUAGCAGCUUGAAAAACCUUAACACUCUCAAAUUGUGUAUUUUGCUUGGUCCACAAUCUACAUAUCCAUUCCCAUCCCUUGAAUUUGUUAAUAGUUGUGAAAAGCUCCAGAAAUUGUUGUUAGGUGGGAGAUUAGAGAAACUGCCUGUGUUUCCAGAUUCCAUCACAAUGAUAUUUCUUUGGGAGUCAAGACUGACAAAAGAUCCGAUGCCUAUUUUGGGAAUGUUACCAAACCUAAGGAAUCUCGAAUUAGAAGCAGCUUAUGAAGGAGAAGAAAUAAUGUGCAGUGAUUACAGCUUCAGUCAACUAGAGCUCCUUCAUCUUUAUGGUCUUGACAACUUAGAAAGAUGGCAUUUAGGCACAAAUGCCAUGCCUCUCAUUAAAGAUCUUGUUAUCCAUCAUUGUCCAAAGCUGAGGGAGAUUCCAGAGAGAAUGAAAGACGUGAAGCAUUUCAAACGUAUAUGAAGUCUUAUAUGAUAAUAGGAAAGGUAAAUAUACAAACACAUCCCAAUCCUUCAUUUUUUUUCUUUUUUAUAUAAAUAAUAAUAUUUUUGUUAAAACAGGAGAUGAAGACAUUCAAGUUGAUGAAGAUGGGUUGUCCAAGCAUCAAUCAAGCUUCCGUCACUUUACUGAUUUUGUGAUUCUAGGCAAAAAUGAGGAUUUUUUUGGUUUUUGGCUUCUUUUUUUUUUUUUAGUGUGUGGAAUUGGUUGGAAGAGAUUUUUUUUUUGGGGGAAGUGGGGGUGGNNNNNNNNNNNNNNNNNNNNNNNNNNNNNNNNNNNNNNNNNNNNNNNNNNNNNNNNNNNNNNNNNNNNNNNNNNNNNNNNNNNNNNNNNNNNNNNNNNNNGGGAUCACCCCCGACGAAAAAUCCACGAUGAUCUCCUCGAUCUUCUCUUCUUCUUCUCCUUCUUCUCUUCUUCUUCUCUUCUUCUUCUCCUUCUUCUCUNNNNUCCUCGAUUUCCUCUUCUUCUCUUCUUCUUCUCUUCUUCUUCUCAAGCCCUAGCCUUCACUCUCUUAAAAUGGAACAAAAUGAUCCAAGUAUCAGCCUUACUCAACAAUAUAACCUCAAAAGAAAUAGCCAGGGAAAAGACCAAAAUGCCCUUAAUUUUCCGGAGAGAUUUCCCUGCCAACAGCCCAACUUCUAAAGGGCACAACUCGCUCAUACGAACUCGGAAUUGAGCAAACUCGGCGGUAUUGGAAAUAUCAUUCCACAAGCUUCACAACCAUAACUAGAACUACUCCUAACUCAUCCUGAGAUGGAAGUUAUGACUGCUCAAAGUUGGCCAAAAAUUCAUUUUUUUCACACUUAGCCAAAUUUCCAAAAUUUUAAAUUCUUUCCAAAAAUGACUAUUUUUGAUUUUUAAGCCGCUUCAUAGUUAUUUCAUCUUACCGGAUGUUACAAUAUCUCCCCCUUGGGAACAUUCGUCCUCGAAUGAGGUUACUCUUACAAGGCUAAGGGUGCAACAACAACUCAAACACCCAACAAGCAACUAUACAAACACAACAACAACCACAACAUGCUCAUUAUAAUUAAAAGAGCACUAAAAAGGAAAUUAAUACCUUAAUCUGCAUUUCCUUCGGAUUCAAAGAGAUGUGGAUAUCUCUUCUUCAUGUCUUCUUCGGCUUUCCCCAAAGUGGCUUCCUCAACAAAUUGGUUCCUCCAUAGGACCUUGACUGAGGCUACUUCUUUCGUUCUCAACCUACGAACUUGACGAUCUAAAAUCUGAACAGGAACCUCCUCAUAAGAUAAGUUAUCCUUGAUCUUAAAACUUUCAGUCGGUAGGAUAAAAUGAAGGAUCGCCUAUGCACUUCUUCAACAUGGAGAUGUGAAAUAUUGGAUGAACCGCUUCUAGUUCCUGUACUUUGGUAUUUGUCAACUGCGCUCAAGCAGUGUUUCCUGUACUUUGGUAUUUUUCCAGAAUAUCACGUGGUCCAUUUGAUCACAUAUUAUGGUUGUGGAUGGCUGAAGGAUUUGUACCAACAGGAAAAGAAAUAAUGGAGGAUGUUGUUGAAGGCUUCUUCAAUGAGUUGAUAAGACGAAGCUUGAUACAAGUGGUACACACAUUUUGGGAAAAAGUUGGUAAAUGUAGGAUUCAUGAUCUGCUUCACGAUCUUGCCGUACAAAAAGCAUUGGAGGUAAACUUUUUUGACAUUUAUGAUCCAAGAAAGCACUCCAUAUCCUCCUUGUGUCUUAAACAUGCCAUUCAUAGUCAAGGAAAAAGGUAUCUCUCACUCAAUCUUUCUAACUUGAAGGUUAGGUCACUUAUGUUCCUUGAUACGGAUAUUUUAAAGAUGGGUCUUAUAAAGUUCCAUAAUGUGUUCCAACAUCUAUAUGUGUUGUACUUGGAGAUUCAUGUUGACAAUAUGUGUAUACUGUAUAGUACCUGAUGCCAUAGGAGGUUUGUACCACCUCAAGUUCUUAAGAUUGAGAGGUAUCCAUGAUCUUCCCUCUUCCAUUGGCAAGCUCAAGAAUUUAUAGACACUUCUUGUCAAUGACUAUGGAUACUUUUGCAACUACCCCGCGAGACAGCUGACCUGAUAAAUCUAAGACAUUUAGUUGCUUCGUAUUCAAAACCUCUGAAACGUAUAAGCAAACUCACUAGUCUUCAAGUUCUUAAAGGCAUCCAUUGUGAUCAGUGGAAAGAUGUUGACCCUGUUGAUUUAGUCAAUCUUCGAGAAUUAAGCAUGCAUGAGAUUACCAAAACUUACUCACUAAACAACAUUAGCAGCUUGAAAAACCUUAGCACUCUAAAAUUGUGCUGUGUAGCUUAUGUAUCAUUCCCAAACCUUGAAUAUCUUAGUUCUUGUCAAAACCUUCAGAAAUUGUGGUUGGAGGGGCAAAUAGAAAAACUGCCUCUCUCAUAGCAGUUUCUGAAUUCCAUCGCCAUGAUGGUCCUUCGGUACUCAGAACUCAUGGAAGAUCCCAUGUCUACUCUAGGGAUGCUCCCAAAUCUAAGGAAUCUCGAUUUUGUUUAGAGCUUACGGAGGAAAAGAAAUUACCUGCAGUGAUAACAGCUUCAGCCAACUGGAGAUCCUUCGUCUUGAUUGUCUUGAGAACUUAGAAAGAUGGGUUUUAGCCAGAAGUGGCAUGCCUCUGAUUAAAGGUCUUGGUAUCCAGCGUUGUCCAAAGCUACAUGAGAUUCCUGAUAGAAUCAAAGACGUGGAGAGAACUCCUUUUCAAUGAAGCUUUUCAAGCAUAUAUGAUGUCCUAUUUCAGCUCUUUCAUAAUCGUAGAGGUAAUAAAUCCCAAUCCCCAAUGAUCAUUUCUUAAAUUCCUUUUAAUUACUCACUCUGCCGCAGAUUUGUUAGUAUAAUGUUUAAUUUUUAUACUAUGACAGUACAAUUUUUUUUACAUUAUCACCAUACUAAAAGAAGUCAACUAUAAACAAUUGUCUAUUAGUAAAUCACUUAUGCAUGAGAUUUUGUCUUGUAUCACAAAUUCACAACAACAACAUACCCGGUACUGUAUUCCCACAGAACGAGGUCUGGUGAGGGUAGAGUGUACACAAACCUUACCUCCACCUCAAAGAUGAGGUAGAGAGAUUAUUUCCAAUAAACUCUCAGCUCAAGAUAAAAACAGACUAGAAAAAGACGUAAUGGAAGUAGAAGAGACAAUAGGUAGUAACAAAACAACAGAUGAAAGCAAAACAGUACUACAACCAAAUAAUAUUACAAUCGAACUACACGAAACAAUAGAUAUCAAUAAAAUGAUUUUCUUCAUGCCAAAAACACACUGAAUUGUAUUGGUAAUCUAUUAUUUGGUCAACACUUGAUAUUGUCCUGAUCAUUAUGAUUAAUCAUCAAUUUAGGUUAUUGAUAAAUCUUUUGUUCUUUAUUGAAUACUAUUCCUCAUAUUAAAUAGUGUCUUACAAUUUUGGUUGAAUAGGAGAAGCAGCAGCUGGCAGGUGUGGAACUUUUUGCCAAGCAUUUCAAGAGAUUUACAUGGAGCAAGUCGGAUUUUAGAAAUAAUAAGCAUGUUUCUUUUGUUUUGGCUUUAGGUCAUGUGUUUAAAUUACAACUGUGACAUUCAAGAUUUUUUUUUUAAAAAUCUCCUUGUAUAUAUUUCUUGUUCCGCCACUGCCCACAUUUUGUUUCUUGUCAUAACUAAGUAUUAAAUAAGUAUGAGCUUUUAAGUUCGAGAUUCAGAAAUGAACUUUUUGUAAUUAUUAUCCAAGAAUAUUAUGGUAUAAUAGAUCUUUAUAGAAUUAUAGUCCACAAACAUAUAAUAACUCAAAACAGUGAUGACUAGCAGUGAUGCUUGUGGAAGUCAAUUAAGGAUGGUGUUGACGAAUGGUGGGGUGGGAUUAGUAGCUAGUGGUGAUGGUGUUGGCAGUGGAGGUUGAUGGUGGCCGUUGAUAGUUAAGUUGGAUAAUAGUGAUAAUUAAUGGUAAUGGGGACAAUGAUAGUGAUUGUCAAUAUAUAAUGUCGUGAUUAGUGGUUGUUGUAGACUUGUAGUACUGAUGGUUGGUGAAGAAGAUUAUAAAUGAUAGCUAGUGAGGUGAAGGAGCAUCCAAGUGGUAAGCUUGGCCCCUGGAAGCAGAUUUGGAGGAACAAGGUGCCACCAAGGUAAAGUGUUUCUCCGGGUUGGUUGCCAGAAGAGCAUGCUCCACUCAUGAGAAAUUGAAAAGGAGGGGUUUCUAUAUUGCCUCUUGGUGCUCUCUCUGUAAUGAGACUGAGGAAACCAACAACCAUUUGUUCCUCCAUUGCAAAGUGACAACACAAUUUUGGAACCUUUUUUUGGGACCAACACAUACAAAAUGGAUUAUGCCUGAGCAUACAGCAGAUCUACUUAGUUGCUGGAUCAGCAGAGGGGGGAGAAAAUCUAAGAAAAAGUGGUGGAGUAUAAUACCAUCAUGCAUCUGGUGGUGUAUUUGGAAAGAAAGAAAUAGCAGAUGCUAUGAUAACAAAGCUAAUCUAAUAGAGAAAGUCAAAUGGAACUGCUUGACUACUUUUUAUUUUUGGUGUAAAGAGGAAGGGAUAGACCACUCUUGCGAGAAGCCUAUACAUCAGUCCUAAUAUAGUCAAUAGAUUCCAUACAUGAGCUUGGAUAUGUGUUUCUCAAGAGUACAACACCAUGGAUCUCCUUAGGAAUAACAUAAAAUCCAUCAAAGGUUGCACCAAGGAAAAAGGAAACUCUAAAUUUGUUGGAAAAGAUGACGGAAAGAGAUCUAGAAAUUUACCUUCGUGAUCUUUUAAAAGAACCCAAAUACCUUGUGGUGGUCGAUGAUUUAUGGCAAAGAGAAGCAUGGGAAAGUCUAAAACGAGCAUUUCCGGACAGCAAGAAUGGCAGCAGAGUUGUUAUUACCACGCGCAAAGAAGAUGUCGCUGAAAGAGCAGAUAACAAAGGUUUUGUCUAUAGACUUUGUUUCCUGAGCCAAGAAGAAAGUUGGGAUCUCUUUUGUAGGAAACUACUAGAUGUUCAGGCAAUGGUCUCAGCAAUGGAAAGGUUAGCUAAGGAUAUGGUGGACAGGUGUGGAGGUUUACCUCUUGCAAUUGUUGUAUUAAGUGGACUACUUUCACAUAAAAAGGGGUUCGAAGAAUGGCAAAAGGUGAAGGUCCACCUUUGGCAGCACAUUAAAGACGACUCUAUUGAAAUCUCCUACAUACUAUCAUUGAGCUACAAUGAUUUGUCAACUGCGCUCAAGCAGUGUUUUCUGUACUUUAGUAUUUUUCCAGAAGAUCGAGUGCUCGAGGCUGAAAACAUAAUACGGUUGUGGAUGGCCGAGGGUUUCAUACCAAGAGGAGAAGAAAGAAUGGAGGAUGUCGCUGAAGGCUUCUUGAAUGAGCUGAUAAGACGAAGCUUGGUUCAAGUAGCUAAAACAUUUUGGGAAAAAGUUACUGAAUGUAGGGUUCAUGAUUUACUUCACGAGCUUGCCAUACAAAAGGCAUUGGAGGUAAACUUCUUUGACAUUUAUGAUCCAAGAAACCACUCCAUAUCCUCCUUAUGUAUCAGACAUGCCAUUCAUGAUCAAGGAGAAAAGUACCUCUUACUUGAUCUUUCUAACUUAAAGUAAAGGUCAAUUAUAUUCUUCGAUCCAAAUUUUCGGAACAUGAAUCUUAUAAACUUCAGUAGUGUGUUCCAACAUAUAUAUGUGUUAUACUUGGAUAUUCUUGGUGGCACUGUACCUUAUGCCAUAGGAAUUUUGUACCACCUCAAGUUCUUAAGCUUGAGAGGUAUUGGUAAUCUUCCCUCCUCCAUUGGCAACCUCAAGAAUUUACAGACACUUUGUGUCAAAAGUGAAUUUAGACAUUUGUGCCAACUAACCCCCGAGACAGCUGACCUAAUAAAUCUAAGACAUUUAGUUGCUCAGUAUUCUGAACCUCUGGUACGUAUAAGCAAACUCACUAGUCUUCAAAUUCUUAAAGACAUCUCUUGUGAUCAGUGGAAAGAUGUUGACCCUAUUAAUUUAGUCAAUCUUCUUGAAUUAAGCAUGAUUGAUAUUACUAAAUCUUACUCCCUAAACAACAUUAGCAGCUUGAAAAACCUUAGCACUCUCAAAUUGUUUUGUAGAGGUGGUCAAUCAUUCCCAGACCUUGAAUUUCUUUAUUAUUGUGAAAAGCUCCACAAAUUGUGGUUAGAUGGGAGAAUAGAGAAACUGCCUCUGUUACCAAAUUCCAUCACAAUGAUGGUUCUUUUGGAUUCAAAAACUUCAUGGAAGAUCCGAUGCCUAUUUUGGGAAUGUUGCCAAACCUAAGAAAACUCGAAUUUCUUAGAGCUUAUCAAGGAAAAGAGAUAUUCUGCAGUUAUAAUAGCUUCCGUCAACUCGAGUUCCUUAGUCUUGCUUGUCUUGAGAACCUAGACACAUGGCAUUUAGCCACAAGUGCCAUGCUUCUGAUUAAAGGUCUUCGUAUUGAUCACUGUAAAAAGCUGAACAAGAUUCCCCAGAGAAUGAAAGACGUGAAGCUUUUCAAGCAUAUGAGAGGUUUUAUUUGAUAAUAGCAAAGGUAAAUAUUCAAACAAAUCUCAAUCCUACAUAACUUUCUUCAUUUUUUUUCUUUUAUAUAAAUUAAUAUUUGUGUUAAACAGGAGAAGAAGUUGUCACUUGAACCAUUCACCUUCAUCAACUUGGGCUCUCAAUUUACUCAUUAUUUCAACAUUCAGUUUUUUUGUUUUAUUUUGGUUUUUCAAUGUUUCAUUUCUCUCUCUUUUUGUCUUUAUUUAGUGCAUGUGUGGAAUUGGUUCAAAGAGAAUUUGUUUUGGGAUUAUCUCACCUAAUACUAUUUGAGUCAUUUGUCUAAUGGUAGGGAUAUAUGUGAGCCACUUUUGUAAUGAGGGGGAUAUCAAUUCUACAUCGCAAAGUUGAGGGGUAGAUCAUACUUUUUCCCCUAAAAAAUAAAUAAAUUAUGCAUUAGCUUUGUGUAUUACUUGUACCUUGUCUGCAGGUAUAUUUUUUCAAUCUAUGUACACAUAAUACACCCUAUAUAUAAUUAAGAUGCGUAUAACAUUGGACUAUGGAUUUUAACUUUGGGUUUGCCCACUAUAUCAACUACCGCUAGUUAACAUAGACUUCAACAACCACAACUCGGCUAGCUCUAGCCACUAACUCAACUCAUAAUGAAAUGAACUGAUGUAAUCUAUUAUCCUUUAUAGCUUAAGAAUAUAUUUACAAUACGCGAGCACAAAAUCCUAUACUCAAAUAACAACUUAAGGCUUUGUGACACUCGAUCAGGUCCCUUGUUGCAUGUGAGAGUAGUUCUUCCUUGGAAAUGAUUUUUGCUUUUGAUAAUCUUGAUUGCAAAAAUUAGGUUGUUUCUUGUCAACAUAUCCAGUGUAUAAGAGAGACAAAACAACCUAAUAGCAUGUUAUUGGUCGAGGACUGCUGUUCUUUCUACGCGUUUAUUACCGUGCUCACCAAUCACUGCAGUUUCUACAGCUUUACAGUUGCACUCCAUUGACUUAUCCUGAAAGACAAAAACUCAAAGGACCUAGUCCCUUUAUCAGAUAUUAUUUCUCUAUAAUUUGUUAAAUCAUCAGAAUUCAAAAAUACAAAAUUUGAUUGGUUCCAUCAUACAUAGUGUUAAAAAAUUAAAGUAGAUUCGAUGUUACUUUCAUUAUCAUGAUGCCUACCACUUCAAGAAAGCAUCAAUCAAGUUUCUGUUACUUUACUGAUUAUUUCAACUUUUUUUUUGUUUUAGUUUUUCAAUGUUUAAUUUCUUUUUUGUUUUUGGCUUCUUUAAGUGUGUGGAAUUGGUUCAAAAGAGAAUUACGAUACACUUUUUCAAUCAAUGUAUAUAUAAUAUUAUAUAUACAUAGUAUUAAGGUGCGCAUACUAUUGGAUGGUGGAUUUUAACAUCGGGGUUGCCAUAUAAGUUGCAAAAAUCGCAUUCACACGCUUAUCUGGCAUGAAUCAUAGAUAAUGUGACAUGUGGACAAACAUUAUUUUAAGUGGCUCAAGGGUUGAGUAGUAGAGGUGGUCGAUAGGUCCUAGUUCUAGCUGAGGCGUCUAGUAAAGUGAACUCUGCGGAAAAUUUUGAAGGACCGCAGGUGACUUAAGCCUAUAUUCCUUGCCUGUUAACUUAAUAGUGAAGAAGAUAAUACAUAUUUCUAGAAGAAGCUUUAAUACAUAUUUCAAAAAAAAUGUACCUUUCACUUAGCUUGUUGCAACUUUAUCCUUUUUUAUAAUGGUAGUAUAAUCGCAAAUUCUUUUUUCAAAAAACACAUGGUCAUGUUUCAUUUUUUAAAAACAUAAAAUGGACCCUUUGAACACAUGACUAUUUAUGUCUGAGUGCAUAUAUCUCUUAUCUCCCAUUUUCUAACUUGUUUUCUAAUAUACUGCUUCCUCUUUUACAGAUAAAAAUCAAUACUCCUAACGAUGGCUGAUGCCUUUCUGUCAUUUGCAGUUCAGAAAUUGGGUGAUUUCCUCAUUCAGGAAGUUAACCUACGUUUAAGUCUAAGAGAGGAUAUACAGUGGCUGUGAAACGAGAUUCUCUUCAUGCAGUCUUUCCUCAAAGAUGCAGAACUAAAACAAUGUGGAGAUCAUAGAAUUCAACAAUGGGUGUUUGAGAUCAACUCUAUUGCUAAUGAUGCUGUUGCUAUGCUCGAGACUUAUAGAUUCGAGGCUGAUAAAGGUGCUAGUCGUCUCAAGGCUGAGAAAUGAGCUACUCUUCAUACAGUCUUUCCUCAGAGAUGCAGAACUAAAGCAAAGUAGAGAUCAAAGAGUUCAACAAUGGGUGUUUGAGAUCAACUCUAUUGCUAAUGAUGCUGUUGCUAUGCUCGAGACUUAUAGAUUCGAGGCUGAUAAAGGUGCUAGUCGUCUCAAGGCUUGCGCUUGCAUUUGUAGGAAGGAGAAGAAACUCUACAAUGUCGCCAAGGAGAUUCAAUCACUCAAGCAAUGAAUCAUGGAUAUCUCUCGCAAACGAGAGACUUAUGGUGUUACAAAUAUCAAUAGUAAUGCAGGAGAAGGGCCAAGUAAUCAGAUUAUAACAUUGAGGAGAACUACCUCAUAUGUGGAUGACCAGGAUUACAUUUUUGUUGGCUUUCAGGAUGUUGUACAAACAUUGCUAGCUCAACUUAUCAAAGCAGAGCCUCGUCGAACCGUCCUCUCCAUUUAUGGCAUGGGCGGAUUAGGCAAGACCACUCUUGCAAGAAACCUCUACACCAGUCCUAAUAUAAUCUCAAGCUUCCCUACACGCGCUUGGAUAUGUGUUUCUCAAGAGUACAACACAAUGGAUCUUCUUAGGAAUAUCAUAAAAUCCAUCCAAGGUCGCACCAAGGAAACUCUAGAUUUGUUGGAAAGGAUGACAGAAGGAGAUCUAGAAAUUUAUCUUCGUGAUCUACUAAAAGAACGCAAAUACCUUGUGGUGGUUGAUGAUGUAUGGCAGAAAGAAGCAUGGGAGAGUUUGAAAAGAGCAUUCCCGGAUAGCAAGAAUGGCAGCAGAGUCAUUAUUACCACGCGCAAAGAGGAAGUCGCUGAAAGAGCAGACAACAUAAGUUUUGUUCAUAAACUUCGUUUCCUAAGUCAAGAAGAAAGUUGGGAUCUCUUUUGUAGGAAACUACUUGAUGUUCGAGCAAUGAUUCCAGCAAUGGAAAGUCUAGCUAAGGAUAUGGUGGAAAAGUGUAGAGGCUUACCUCUUGCAAUUGUUGUAUUGAGCGGACUACUUUCGCAUAAAAAGGGGCUAAACGAAUGGCAAAAGGUGAAAGACUGCCUUUGGAAGAACAUUAUUGAAGAUAAAUCUAUUGAAAUCUUCAGCAUACUAUCAUUAAGCUUCAAUGAUUUGUCAGUUGCGCUCAAGCAGUGUUUUCUGUACAUUGGUAUUUUUCCAGAAGAUCAAGUGAUCGAUGCUGAAGACAUAAUACGUUUGUGGAUGGCAGAGGGUUUCAUCAUACCCAGAGGAGAAGAAAGAAUGGAGGAUGUCGCUGAAGACUUCUUGAAUGAGCUGAUAAGACGAAGCUUGGUUCAAGUGGCAAAAAUAUUUUUGGAAAAAGUGUAGGGUUCAUGAUUUACUCCGUGAUCUUGCCAUACAAAAGGCAUCCGACACAAACCUCUUUGACAUUUAUCAUCCAAGAAGGCACUCCAAAUCCUCUUCAUGUAUCAGACUUUCCAUUCAUAGUCAAGGAGAAAGGUAUCACUCACUUGAUCUUUCUACUUUGAAGUUGAGGUCAAUUAUGUUCUUCGAUCCAGUUUUUCCUAAUGUGUCCCAACAUAUAUAUUUGUUUCGACAUAUAUAUGUGUUGUACUUGCAUAUGGAUUAUGGUGGUGUUCUACCUGAUGCCAUAGGGAGUUUGUACCACCUCAAGUUGUUAAGCAUUAGAUCAGGUGUCUGUAAUAUUCCCUCCUCCAUUGGCAACCUCAAGAAUUUACAGACACUUGUCAUUGUAAAUGGGUACGCAUCAUUUUGCCGACUAUCCCGCAAGAUAGCUGACCUAAUAAAUCUAAGACAUUUAGUUGUUCAAUAUUCAGAGCCUCUGAAAUGUAUAAACAAACUCACGAGUCUUCAAGUUCUUAAAGGCAUUCGUUGUGAUCAGUGGAAAGAUAUUGACCAUGUUGAUUUAGUCAAUCUUCGAGAAUUAAGCAUGGAUCGUAUCAGGAGCUCUUACUCCCUAAACAACAUUAGCAGCUUGAAAAACCUUAGCACUCUCAGAUUGUCUUGUCAAGAUUAUGAUGAAUCAUUCCCAUCCCUUGAAUUUGUUAAUUGUUGUGAAAAGCUCCAGAAAUUGUGGUUAAAAAGGGAGAAUAGAGAAACUGCCUAAUCUGUUUCCAAAGUCCAUCACAAUGAUGGUUUUGAGGAACUCGGGACUGACAGAAGAUUCGAUGCCUAUUUUGGGAAUGUUGCCAAACCUAAGGAAUCUCAAACUAGAAGAUGUUUAUGAAGGAAAAGAAAUAAUGUGCAGCGAUAACAGUUUUAGUCAACUCAAGUUCCUUAAUCUUGAUCAUCUUCAAAACCUAGAAAGAUGGGAUUCAGGCACAAGUGCAAUGCCUCUCAUUAAAGCUCUUCAUAUCUAUGAAUGUCCAAACCUGAAGGAGAUACCAGAGAGGAUGAUUGACUUGAAGAAGCUUGAAGAGACCAAGUUUUUUUUGUACAAAUAGUGUGUUAAUAUUUGGGUUAAACAGGAGAAGAAGUUGGCAUGAAUCAAGUUGGAUUAUUUCAACAUUCAUUUUUUUUUGUUUGAAUAAAAUCAAUAUUAUUUUAUAAAGCAUAUAAUAAAUUAUUAUCAUAGCAAUUAACUAUCAUGUUUAGUUUUUCGGAGCACUUUUAAUAUUUGAUUAUAAAAUAGUGUCGGCUAUAAUGCUUAGGAUCGAAGAGAGUUGAUCAGCAUUCGGCAUUUUUUGAUGCUAUUUUAUAAAGCACAUGUGAUUAUACCGUUUAAGCUAUUUUUUGCACCUAUUAAAUAAAUUCGGAGAUUAUCAUUCAAAUGAAGUUAGCAAAUUAAAUAGAAAAAUCUAGACUUAAUAAGAAUGUACCUGAAAAUUAGAAGACACACUUUUGUACUAGCUUAACGACAGAAGCAUAUAUUGAAUGACUGAUAUUAGGUACAGUAAAACCUCACUAAAUUAAUACUCAAUAAAUUAAUAAUCUCUCUAAGAUAAUAUUUUUUUUGGGUCCCGGCUUGGGCCAAUAGAAAAAAUCACUUAUUUCGAUAAGUUAAUAUGAUAAUAUAUUUUCAACAAACCCCUAUAUAAAUAUAUGGUCCCAUCAAUAUUAUAAAUUAAUAAUUCCUUAAAAGUACAAAUAUAUCUAAGACGAUUUAGUGAAAUGUGAUUCUAUUGUGUUUUUUUUUUNNNNNNNNNNNNNNNNNNNNNNNNNNNNNNNNNNNNNNNNNNNNNNNNNNNNNNNNNNNNNNNNNNNNNNNNNNNNNNNNNNNNNNNNNNNNNNNNNNNNNNNNNNNNNNNNNNNNNNNNNNNNNNNNNNNNNNNNNNNNNNNNNNNNNNNNNNNNNNNNNNNNNNNNNNNNNNNNNNNNNNNNNNNNNNNNNNNNNNNNNNNNNNNNNNNNNNNNNNNNNNNNNNNNNNNNNNNNNNNNNNNNNNNNNNNNNNNNNNNNNNNNNNNNNNNNNNNNNNNAAUAGGACCUUAGUAAAGGUUAGGUGUGUCUUAGGGAUUUUGGCAUAGGCUGAGGGGGUACUUAUGCAUUUUCCCAAAUUUAAUUCUAGUUGAAGGUCAUCUUUAACUUUUCUUAUUACAUCAAAAAGUUCUGGUGUUGUUUUUUCGAACGACACCAUAAAAUUGUGAAUAGUUCUAGAUGCGAUAAGUGUUUUCUUACGCGUAACUGGUUGCAAAGGUAUUAUAUCAUCUUCAACUUCAUCAUCCACGUUGUUUUUUUAUGGUAUCCACAAUUUCUUCUAACUAAUGGACUCUGAACAUGUAUCACUUUCAUCCAGGUAAUCCAAAAGGUUAUUGAUGUUAAUUUUUUUGCGGUAACGGGGAUCAUUGAUCAUGGCCUCAAAUUCAUGAAUGACGUUUUCACAAAACACUCUUUAAAUUAAUAAAUAUUAAUUUAUUGAUUAAAUAAACCUCUACAAAAUAAUAAUAUUUCAUUGGCCCACCUAUAUUAAUUUAGUGUGAUUUUAUUAUAUGUUUAUACAGUGUAGUCUUGAAGAUUUGAUGGUAAAAACUCUUUCGUAUUCCUCAAUCACUUAAUUUGAUUCCUUUCAAGUUUUCAACUAUUAAAGUAGGUUCUCAUUUACUCCCCUAUUAUGUUAAUUUAAAUAUUAUUAUUUAAUUAGAUAUUUAAUUUAUGUUUAGAGUAAUUAUUUUAUUACAUUUUAAUUUAGUAUAGGAUCAAAAUGGUAAUCUAAUUUUACACGUGAUAGAUUUUCACUUUUGAUAAUAUAUGAUGAUGAUAAUUUAAUUAAGAUAUAUCUCUAUAAUUUCGAUCAUAGUCUAGGGGUAGUUGUCUCUUAUCCCAAUUUUAAUCACAUAAGUGGACACACUAUAUACUCUCACAUUUAUGUCUUACUACUUCUGAGUGUAUUCCAAUAUACACCCCCCACCCCCCUCUUAUUUUCAAUCAAAAGUAGUAUUCCUGAAGAUGGCUGAUGCCUUUCUGUCAUUUGUAGUUCAAAAAUUGGGUGAUCUUCUAAUACAGGAAGUUUCCAUGCUUACAAGUCUGAGAGAUGAAGUUAAAUGGCUGAAGAAUGAGCUACUCUUCAUGCAGUCUUUCCUCAAAGAUGCAAAACAAAAGCAAUGUGGAGAUCAAAGAGUUCAACAAUGGGUGUUUGAGAUCAACUCUAUUGCUAAUGACGUUGUUGGUAUACUCAAGACUUAUAACUUCGAGGUUGGUAAAAGUGAUGACAUUGGAUUUGCUAGUUGUCUCAAGAAAUAUAUUCUACAAUGUCGCCAAGAUGCCAAGGAGAUCCAAUCACUCAAGCAACGAAUCAUGGAUAUUUCUCGCAAACGAGAGACUUAUGGUAUUACAAAUAUCGAUAAUAAUGCUGGAGAAGGUCCAAGCAAUCAGCCUUCCAUGGUUACAACAUUGAGGAGAACUAACUCCUAUGUGGAUGAUCAGGGUGACAUUUUUGUUGGAUUUCAGGAUGUUGUAGAAAGAUUGUUGAAAAUUGUUUUUAGUUACUGCAGUAGACUUUAGUAUAAGAAGUUGCUAGGUUUAAGAUUUUUGAAUUUUAAAUUAUGCAGAUUUUGUGUUUAAGUUGGUUACUUCCAGUUGUUUUUUUUUCUCAAAUCUCUCAAGGUAGAGAUAAAAUAUGGGUACAUACUACCUUUCUCAGAUCCCACUUAUGGGAUUACGUUGGGUAUGUUGUUGAAGUUUUCACUAGUCCAAAUCAAAUGUCAUUCUAAUAGGCUCAUAGCUUUUAUACCUUUAUAAAGGUUGUUCAUUUGAUCCCAAGAUCCAAAUAAGGCUACAAAGUCAAUGUCUUAGUACUUGGUCGAAUAAGUGUAUCUUAAGAUCAUCCAGUUAACAAUCAAAGACACUGACAAUCAGAAUAUCCUCUAUGCACAAUGCAGCUAUGUAAUAAAGCUCACAACUCGAUUAAGGCUGCAACAUGUAAUUUGUUUUGUUUAUUUUAUGACACGAGAUGAAAUCAUGCAUCUACAAGCAUAUUCAUACUGAAUUGCACAACUACUUCAGAGUUCUGAGCAUAGCUUCUCACAAAGAGGAUUCGGUGAUCGCUGAGACAAAAUUUGAUGAAUGGCACACUGGCAAAUUGCAGUCAGACUGUCGAGACAUAAAAUUGAUCUCCAGCAGUCCAAGCCAUUACAUUUGCGGAAAGAAAUGGAUUUUUCAGAUCAAAACUAUUUCCGCUAUCCUGCUAAGCCUGAAGUUUGAGCAGAAACUAACAUCAGCUGAUGAUCAUCUUGUUCAGGAAUUCAGCUUGCUCAGGAAAGUAUUCCAACAGUUCAUCUUUGGUCACCCAGACAAAAUCAUCACAUUUUCUAAUAUCAAACUUGUUGGCUGCAAUAACUUGGGAUUUGAAGAAGAAGCGCUGCCACAAUAAAAUAUAGAAUAUAUACAUAAGAAGCACAAACUUUGCAGAAGCUAUCAGGGAAUUUCCCUCCCUCCGUCCCUCGCUCCAUGUGGGAUGACAGAAUUUCUUACUGUCCUUUUCUUCAAUACUUCAAUAAUUAAAAUGUACAUACCUUGAUUGACGGGAUUUUCUUGUCUUCAGUGGAUUGCAUGACCAUAUGACCCAUAGGGGCAUUUCCAACAAAAUAUGUAUGUGAAAGAUCUCCAAUGAAAGAUUCUAGAGCAGACUCAGCACACUGCAAAUAGUUGCAACUUAUAUUCAUUUUUCUAACCCAAAUUACUGAAAUCACCAAAGAAAUGGACUGACUAAGUACUAGUUACCUUGCGCAAAUUCUCUUCAGACUCGUAAACUUUUUCAGGGAAAUGCCAGACAGGCUUUCCACUACCUUGUGUGGCACCAUGGACUAGAAGAUAGAGUCUCCUGUCUAGUGCUCGAUGUAAUGACCUUGUGCAUAUCAACAAAAUUUCAUAAUCAGUAACAUGAAAUACUAACCAGCAGAAGGAAACAAAAGCUUUGAAUAUCUGUUGACACAUUAUUCAUGUUCAGGAAAAUGCAAAGGUUUUGUAUAGGGUUAGUACCUUUUAGCAAAGUUUGACCAAGUGAUGAGUUGAAAAACAGACGCAAGCUUUAUUUUGUGGUGUAGAGGGUGAAGAAGGCAUAUAAAAGGAAAAAAAAAGCAACAGUAGCUCUCCAUUCUUAAUUUUAAAUACUUACACAAUGCACAAUUAGACAAAUCUCAUGUAACUAACACAUCAAUUACUUUGAGACAAUAUUAAGGCAUUUCGACAUUAAAAAUUUAGUUAUGGUAAACAAUUUAGAAGUUAAUAAUUACCUAUUGUCAGGAAAUAUGAGUCUGCUGAAUUUAGGUAAAGCAACUCUUGAAAGAAAAAUAUCUUCUAGUGCAAUGUCCAUAUUCAAAUUCUUGUAUAAUAUUUGACAAAUGUUAGAAGUUCAAGCUAUAGUACCUUUGAUCAUUAGUCUUAUCUGCUUCUGAGAUUCGAGGAGCGGGUUUAUAAUCAAUUUGAUAAUCACCUUUUCCCCUGCAUGUAAAAUAUAGAUGUAACGGUGCCACUUGACCAUGUGGCAUUUGACACUAGACAGAACAGUAUGUGAUAGCAUGUUCAAGAAGAACCAUGUACAUAAUUAAUGGCUAAUAAGGAAGAAUGCAUGAAAGAAAAGGCAAUAAUACUACACAAGCCAAGGAGUAAAAAUCAGUUGGAUCAUACUGCUAAAAGAGGAGACAGUGUUUACUCUCCAACAUGCAUACUGUUGCAUGCAGAGAUCUCAAUUUCUUAAAACGUGAUCUAUAUAGAUACAAAAGAGAUUAGGCCAUUUUUACCACCAUGUACUUUUUCUGAAUAGAAAGUAAAGUUUUUAAAUUGUAAAUGGCCAAUGCUAAGAUAGUAAUGCUCACUGCCCAGUACCAAAGGGUAUUCUCCAAGUUACAGAAACCAAUUUCUCAUGGGACCAAGUUACUAUUAUUUCUUUUUCUGCUUUUGAGUUAAGCUUAUAAAUUUUUUCCAACAAAUGAUUGGCAACAAAGGGAUUUUUUUUAAAGUGAACCGAGGGGGUAUAAUAGUAUAUUAAUGAGAUUCAUGCAUAUGUUUAGGAGGGGUGAACCAGAAAUAAUUAUAGGUAUAGCCAUCUUUAUUAUGUUCCCUAGCUUCUCAUGUUUUGAUGUGCUACGUUUUCCAAGAAAAAAUCAUCACAGAUUUGAAGGGAAGAGAGAACCACAACUGCAACUCGGAGUACUAUGCCAUUUAUUCUUUUUCUGGAGUCAACAGAAGCUUAACGUAUUUGUGAAAAAAUUACAUUUUAUUAAGUUUAAUCAUAUAGUUCUUGCACAAAGGAAUCCCAAAAGUUUUCAAACAAGAAAGGAGUAAAAGGGCUAAAACGCCAAAAAUCUAUUAACUUUUGUCAGUAGUGGAAGCGACAAUUAUUCAUGUCUUCCUGCUGUAAAGUAAAUUCUGCAAUCUAUGGGGCUGAUAGGUUUAGAAUGCUUGACAGCAAUUGUAUGGAUUAAUGGUGGAGAAGUCCAAACUGGAAGAAAGGCAUGUUUGUGCAAAAUGAAUCAGAAACUGAGAAGAUUAGUUUCCAGAAAUUUAGACUUCAGAAAGCUAGAUAGUCAAGAGUAAAAUAUUGGUAAGAUAAGGAAAACCUUGAAAUCUCUCCAUGACCAAUUGUGCCAUUAGUUUUAGUAAGCCAUAAUGAAUGUGUUUUAUUUAGUAUUUAUGACAGAUUCCAUGCCUGUUGCAAUGAGCUCUUUUUCCUCAACUGUUUACCCACUUCUUUGUUCAGUUGUGAGUACAAAUCCUUCCUUUUAACUGCUAAUGGUAGUUUAAAAAGAGAACUUGACCUAGAAAGAAUAUUUUCCCAGAUUUUCAAAUUCAGGAGUUCUGAAAACUAGCAAAAUACCUCUAGUGCUGGAUUCCAGAACUUAAAGUCUUAAACAAUCUAAGGAAAACAGAAAAGCACUAAACUACAAUCAUAAACAAGGAGUUACUAAUAAUUAUUUUGCAAAAUUUAUCACCCAUCCAAAUUUUGAACUUAUGGUUUAAUUCUUGGUUAUUUUCUUUGUCGUGGAUGGAAUCAACCCGUGCUGCUCAUAACCUUUUUUAAUCACUGUAUGCAGAACAGAGAUGAUUCUUCCCUGAAGAAAAUUCACCAGUACUUACACCAAGAUCUCUCAUUUAGACAAACUCUAUUUCUAGAGUAAAGAAGAAUGCUCAGAAAAUCUUCAAAACUUUUCGACUUUUAAGCGCUCUUCAUGCUAUUAAACUCCUAAAGCAAUUUCACUGGUCUAUUAUGUUUUAACUUAUUUCAUGCAUCCUAUGCACACUCUUCAUACCAUUCAUCAGUUAACAUUUCAUAAAUGAAGAUACAUAAUUCACAAAAAGAGGUAUUAAAUGGCAAGGUGUAAUUCAAGCAAUGCAACAGAAAUGUACCUGGUAUCAGACUUCUUCAGAAAACUUUCUGGAUACUCUCGCCGAUAUUGCUGCCUCCAACGAAACCUAUAAAAGAAAUUAAUAAUAAAAUUAUUGCAAUCAACUAAACACCGAUUACAUUAAACAAUCAUCUACAUUGUCAUUCGCCAACUCUUAUUCAUGAACCUUUGCUCUUUUUUAUCCUUCUCAUUUUCUCCUUUUGCUGGCAUCUUAGUUACCAACCCAUUCUAUAACCUCAUUAUUCUCAACUUCAUUACACAUUAUCUCCUAGUAUUAGAAACCACUGCAAAAUUUUGGACAAAAGAAACUCUUUUCUUUCUUAGAUAUACUUCGUCAAACUUACAAAAUAGUGAAGAUUCAUAAAUUUGACCUGACUAAUUUGGGAUUGAGGCAUAAUUAUUGUUUUUUAGUACUAUUUUUCUCAAGCAAACAUAUCAAAGUACCCCUUAAUCCCUAAUUAACCAUCACAGUUUCUGGAAAGCGAAAAAAAUAAUUUUGAUCAUUCUAUUAUACGAACCAGCAUUUAUAUGAUUUAGGAACGAUAGUACACCCGUAUAAGCUAAUGAACUUAUAGCUCUAAAAGUAAAUCAUUGUAAUUGGAUUACAAAAGGCUUGAUUACAUUUCGAUUUCGUGCAACAAUUGAACAGAAAAAAGUAAAACUUACGAAAAUUCUUGAAAAGCAUAUACAGUAGGAUUGAUUUUGGGAACCACUACCGGUAAUCUUUCGAAGAGCACUGAAGCGACAAUUUUAUCAUUGUUGGAUGAAGAAAACCAUCGUUUACCUAUCGCAGAUCGACCCGCAGAUGAACAGCACCUCUGCAUUUUCAUAAACCCUAGAAACCCAAAUUCCACAGUACUGACAGGGAAUUGAAAUUUCUCGGGUUGAAAUUUAUGGGCUUGGGAUUCAGAUUGGAAUUUAUGGGCUUGGGACUUGGGUUGAAGUAUGAAAUUUCAAUAAAGAUUAUUAAACUUAUCUAUUCUUUAAGUAUUGAUUUUUCAGCUUAUAAACACUUUUAGUUUGAUCAAUCGUUGUAUUAUUGUAUCUCUACCAUAUUUUAGUAUUGCUUGAUCCAAAGGCGGUGAAAUUUUCAUCUGUUGCGUGGAGUAUAUAUUAUUUUCAUAUUGCUUUUAUUCCAUAUCUUAUUGUAAAGCUUAAAUAGUUUUCACUUCAUAUUUAUGUAUUGAUUCAGUUGAGUUGUUUUAUGGGGGAUAAUGUGUUUUGUUAAACAUAAGUAUCAAUACUAGUUGAUCUUAUUGAUGACAAAAUUGAUUUUCUUGCAAGAUCAAUUUGUGUCCGUCUAGUAUUGACACUUAGUGUCACGCUCCCAGCCUACACCCUGGACGUGACAGAUGUGUUGGGUAUUAAUUACUCGGAGUUUCUUACCAUAAAUAGGUUUUUCUUUUUAAGAAAAGGUUUUAAUAUUUGGCUAAUUAUUUUCUUGUAGGAAAAGGUUUAGGACUCUAUAAAUAGAGGUUUGUUCUUCUAACUUAAUCAGCAUUCACAAUGUAGUCCUAGGGUUUUGAGAGUUUCGGUUAUGAGGGAGAAUUUGUGAACCUCUUUGUAUUCCAAGUGAAUUGGUUGAGGUUGUUUCUCUCUAUAUUUUGUACUCUCAUAUUUAUAUAGUGGAUUUCUCGUCUCCUUUGUGGAUGUAGGUCGAUUGACCGAACCACGUUAAAUCUUUGUGUCUUUUGGUAUAUUUCUCGUUUGUUUUCUUACUCGUGGUCUUUCGAAGUUUGUUUUGCUAGUUUCUACAUGACACCUAAUUAUUUUCGAUCCUAACGCGAUGAUGCAACAAGUAAGGCAUAUUGCUUGUAUUUUGAGCAUUGGUCGUUAAACCUCAAAUCGUCUUGUUUGUUUUCCAACUGGAGUUAAGUAGAAUCGAGAGGAUUCAUUUGUGGAAAAUUAUAUAGUUUAUACAUAGUUAAAAUAAAUACAUUUUAUGUAUAUAUAUAUAUAUGGUAGAAUUGAUUUCUUCGUGUAUUUACUUCUUCAUAUCAUAAUUUAAACUAAUGAAAAGUCGUAUUCUGUCAAUGUGAUAUCUACGCAAGGAAAUCACAAAUGUAACUUGUUGGUUUCUUUUUUUUCUGUGUUUGAAAAUACUUUUAACCCAUGUUAAAAGUGAAACACAACACGAAAGUUAAAAACAAGAAAGCUUCCACCAUAGAAAUAUUAAUAAUACUGGUAACAUAUGCCCCAACAAGGGGGGAUUAUAUUACUACUAGUGAAACAAAGCAAUUAGGAAAAAAAAAAAAAAAAGACCAACAUGGCUUCAUUCUUGAUUCUACACUUGACUUAGAGUUUGCCAAAUGAGUGAGCAAGGUAAGUGGCAGGUUCAGAUUGCUCGUAAUCUGAACGAUCGUCUGGGAAAUGAUCGUGCUGAUCAGGACCACCCACCACAGCCCCCACUAGUAUGUUCGGGUUUGGUGAUUGUGAAUUCAUCACACUGAAACCAGACCUGCAUUGUAUCUUUGCUGGAUGGUUCGCGAUUGAGGAUCCCCUGUGAUGAAUCCUCUGUGGAUACCUAGCUCCAUGUAUGAUAUUUUUAGUGAAUUGUCUCCUAACAAAUAGUCCACCUGUGCGUUCAAAAAAAAGGAACGAGGCUUAACUUUUAUGCACUGAUUAAAUCCUCUUGUCCAUCACACCAAACGACCCCUGAGGGUUUGCUAUAUACUUAAAAUAUUCACUUUCAUUGUUGAGCUAGGGGUGUGCAAAAACCGAUUUAACCAAUAAACCGAACCGAAAAAAAUACUAUUGAUUUAUUGAUAUUGGGUUAUUGGGCUAACGGUUUUUAAACGGUUUUGCAAAAAAAUUUAUUGGGUUAUUGGUUCGGUUUCCGGUUUUAUAAUUUUUGUUAAUGAUUAAACCGAUAACCCAAUAAGACUAUACUAAAUUUACUUUUAUUGGGUUAUUGGUUUGGUUUCCGGUUUUAUAUUUUUUGUUAAUGGUUAAACCGAUAACCCAAUAAGACUAUACUAAAUUUACUAGUCUUAUUGUUAAUGGUUAAACGAUUGUUACUUUCACACUUUUUCCUUUGAAUGUGUCUAGUGUCUAAACUUGCAAGAAAAAUGAUUGUUACUUUUAUGAUUAUUACUUUCAUGCUAAAUGCUGGAAAAAUCAUAUGGUUUAUUUGAAAAUUUUCUUAUCGUGUAUAUAAUAUAUAUGAGUAUUUUCUUAUUGGUUAAACCGAAAACCGAACCGUUAAGUACCAUAAACCGAUUAACCAAAAACCGAUAAGAAAUAUGUUAUUGGUUUGGUUAUCGGUUUGAUGUAUUUACAAACCGAAAACCGAUAAACCGAACCAAUAACACCUAAAACCGAACCGAACCGACCGAUGCGCACCCCUAUGUUGAGCAAUGUGAUAAAAAGAAAGUCAAAGUACACACAAUAUUCAGCACUAGCAAAGUUCUGGGAAGGACCGCACCAAAAAAUAGGGCACAUUUCACUUUCAUUGCUCUAAUUUUUGAAAAUGGGAACACUUUGAUUUUCUCCUAUUCAUCCACAUUUGUGUUUGACAUAUUUGACAAUAUUAUUUCUUUUUAUUAUGUGAACCAUUGGACAAUAAUACAUAUAAUUAUUACUUUAAGACUUUUCUCCGUAGAUAUUUUCCCACAAGUUGUUUAAUGGUUGUUGAAUAAGCUUUAACACAUAUUUCAACAAUUACACAAGUGGAGCCUUUGAACACACUAUUUAUCUCUACUGCUUCUGAGUGUAUAUCUCUAAUCCCAAUAUACAUCCCCCUCUUUUCCAGAUAAAAAUCAACACUUCUGAAGAUGGCUGAUGCCUUUGUGUCAUUUGCAGUUCAAAAAUUGGGUGAUUUCCUCAUACAGCAAGUUUCCCUGCGUAAAAAUCUGAGAGAUGAAGUUAGAUGGCUGAGAAAUGAGCUACUCUUCAUGCAGUCUUUCCUCAGAGAUGCAGAACUAAAGCAAUAUGGAGAUCAAAGAGUUCAACAAUGGGUGUUUGAGAUCAACUCUAUUGCUAAUGAUGCUGUUGCUAUACUCGAGACUUACAGCUUCGAGGCUGGUAAAGGUGAUGACGAUGGAUUUGCUAGUCGUCUCAAGGCUUGCGCUUACAUCUGUAGGAAGGAGAAGAAAUUCUACAAUGUCGCCAAGGAGAUUCAAUCACUCAGGCAACGAAUCAUGGAUUAUAACAGUCCUAAUAUAGUCAAUAGCUUCCCUACACGCGCUUGGAUAUGUGUUUCUCAAGAGUACAACACAAUGGAUCUCCUUAGGAAUAUCAUAAAAUCCAUCCAAGGUUGCACUAAGGAAACUCUAGAUUCGUUGGAAAGGAUGACAGAAAGAGAUCUAGAAAUUUACCUUUGUGAUCUAUUAAAAGAGCACAAAUACCUUGUGGUGGUUGAUGAUGUAUGGCAGAGAGAAGCAUGGGAGAGUUUGAAAAGAGCAUUCCCGGAUGGCAAGAAUGGCAGCAGAGUCAUUAUUACCACGCGCAAAGAGGAUGUCGCUGAAAGAGCAGACAACAGAGGUUUUGUCCAUAAACUUCGUUUCCUAAGCCAAGAAGAAAAUUGGGAUCUCUUUAGUAGGAAACUACUUGAUGUUCGAACAAUGGCUCCAGAAAUGGAAAGUCUAGCUAAGGAUAUGGUGGAAAAGUGUAGAGGCUUACCUCUUGCAAUUGUUGUAUUGAGCGGACUACUUUCGCAUAAAAAGGGGCUAAACGAAUGGCAAAAGGUGAAAGAUCACCUUUGGAAGAACAUUAAAGAAGAUAAAUCUAUUG